AGCUUUGUCAUCAUCCUCGUCGUCGUCGUCUUCUCCGAAGGAAGGAGUAAAGUGUAAGGGUAGGAAAAGGUGAUGCUUAGCUGCUUGUCUUUGUUAUUCAUUUCUAGGAAACUAAGAGAGUUUUACCGAGUUUGAUUGUUACUUGUAGAGAGAUACUCUUAGAGCCUAUGUUAUGGCUUAUGUUGUAUAAUAGCAGAGGAACUUCAAGCUUGCAUUGUUGUAUUUUCCCUGGUAUUUGGCAUGUAAUAUACUAAAUGACAAAGAAUUUUCUAAUUUUAGAGGGGAAAAAUGUGUCAGUUAAUUAUUUGUUUAUUUUAUCUGUUUAAUUCAGUUUAUAAUAUAGCUUUUCUUUUAUAAAAAAAAAAUCUCCUAGCUUCAUCUGCAAAUUCAGUCAUGUGUAACUUCUUUCAGGGAGAAAAGAAGGGAAAAAAAAAAAAAAAAGCAUUUGUACCUAUAUUUUAGAGUACUGACUCUCAUACAGAAAUUGGUUAAGAUGACAUUAAUGUUCUUUAAAAUAGAUGGAUAUGCAUAAUUUUCAUCGAAAUUGAAAUUAGAAAUGGAUCAAUAUGAAUGAUAUAUAUACAGAACUUUUUAAUAGAAUUUUUAUACAAAAAUUUGUAGCUCAUUACUCUCCAGAAGAAAAAUAAAUUUUUAAUUGUAGAUAUUAAGUUUUAAAUUUAUAAUGUAAUAAAUGUGACUUAAGGUGCACAGCACCCAUAUAAUAAUAAUUAACAAAAUAAAAUUCAAAACCAAUUUUUUAAAAUUAAUUAUUUUUAUACCUAAAUUCUCAUGCUCGACGGCCGCUGGAAUUGGCUAUUGUAAUUUUGUCAUCCUCAUUAUUCACUGGCCAUUUUUGGACCAUGACAUAAUAGAACUUGGGUCAAACUUUCAUCUUUAAAUCACAUAGGUAGAUCACGAUUCAAGCUUCAGUUAUAAGCCUUUCAUUCUUUCUUGAUAUAUCUAUAUAUAUAUAGAUUCAGUUUGAAUAUGGUUCUUCAUAGUAUCAUGGAAAAUGCAAACGAAAAGUCAGCAUCUUUGAGUUUUGCCUCAUCGUAUUCAACUUGUUGGUCUACUAAUCAAUCAACAGGCUAUGGAAAUAGCUGGUGCAGAUACCGCCACUGGCCUUUCAGCAUUAGGACGAAAAGGACUAAGUGGGAACUUGAAGGAGGUUGAUUUGAAUGAAACGCUCUCUAUGCAAGCCAAGAGAUGCCAAUUGAGACUGCAAACUCUGCUCAAAACAGGUAUUUAUAUACUUUUUUAACUUUUGCACCUUUCUAUUUACUGAUUAUCUUUUUAAUUAACUAAUACAUGUAUCCAUGUUUCUCCUUCCAUUUCAUUAGAAGUAAUGUGCAGCUAAUUAAUCAGCAUAUCAGUAUACAACAAUACUUCCACAUAAGCAAAUAAAUCUUACAAUCCUUCUUACAUGAUUUAAAAAAAAAUACUUCUAGAAGUCUUCUAAAUACAAACAUAAACAGAAUUCAACUGCUAAAACCAUACCAAGAUUCAAGCUUCAAUCAGUAAUACACACGGCUAAUUAUUAAAAACAUCUAGCCAGAAACCUUAUUGAAGCUCAAUCCUUCCGAAGCAUUCUUCAAAUUAAUAAUUGCUACUAUCUGUGAAAAAUAAUUGACAAGGAGUCAGCUGUUAACUCAAUCAGUAGAAACAUUCAUAACGAACAAAAAGAAUUCUUUGUGCAAUAGUUUCAGAAAAUUCAUUUAACCCUUCAAACGAAACAGAGUAAUUUUUCUAACGCAGUCAUGAUUUAUAUAAAACAUAAACAUUAGUUUGAUUUUAAAGGGAGGUUAUUGGGAAGUUAAAAUUGGCAGUUGUGGGAAAAGGGUAAUAGCAAUUAUAAAAUCUCUUUUAAAGCAAAUUCAAAUCAAGUUUCAAAUUUUAGGAGUACUUAAUUCAAUAAAAUAAGGAAUAAAUAAAGCUUUCGUUGAAACAAAACUAAGUAAAUUCAUUUAAAGCAAAACAGGAUGCGAGCAUUACUACGGGUUCUUAUGUUUACCCGCAGUCAGACAUCCGGGACCUUGUUAUUUGGAGACAAGACUUGAUUGUGGCAUGUUUCCGCAGCCAGAUAUCUUUUACUUCAUUAUUUCCUAAACAUCUGUGGAUAAGAGAACCCUAAGCCUAUUGAGAAUAAAUUCUGUAAUCCAAGACUCUUCAAUUCUUUCAUUUGUGGCUAAUUAGUUAUAAAAUUUUGGAAUUUCAUGCUCCAUGGCACUUGCAAAAUGUAUUUUAUAUCCUUAAGAUGCCAGUGGAUGAACUGAAAUAAUAAAAAUGGAAAACAGACUUAAUGUCGAUAGCAUUUCUUAAGAAAAAAUUGGGAUGUUUAUAAUUUUCUUAGAGCAUUUGCUGAACUUUCUGUGAUCGCAGUUGAGACGUGUGACCGCAACUUCCCUCAUUGCUCAGUAGUGGCUGAUAAUUUUUUGCAUUUCAACUCCCCUCAUUGCUCAGAAGUGGUUGAUGAGUUUUUGGAUUGUGAUUGGUCCGAUGCGUCCUUCCUAGAAAAGGGUACUCCUGAUGAGCAGAAACUCAAAAGGGCAGGCUUCAUGAAACUUAAAAGUAGACAUGCAGGAGGCAUUCUGCGAGGACCUGGCUUAUCACCGUCGUUCAGGGCUGCCAUCAUCCUGGUCGGCAUUUUACAAGUACAUGGCUGAGCGCAAUCGUUCAGGUAUGUCGACAUCCUCGGCAUCGAGCAAUUAAGCAUCACCUUUCCCUAAAAGUCAUAUUUGACAGCUAGGAAACUAAAAAGAGUUUAGCGCGCCCGAUUGGUAUUUGUAUUUUUUUUUUUUUUCCCUCAAGUGAUCUGGUAUGUAUCAAUUAGUUUGUAAAUUAUUGUAUUGUCUCAAGUCCCGUUAGACGCGAACGUAUAGCAUGGAUCACAAACUCAUUUCAUAUAACAUUGAUUUUGUAAAAUUAUAUAAUUUAUAGGCUAUGCUCAAAAAAUUAGAAAAGAAAAAAGAAUUGUAUUACAAUUGGUACGAGGCAUGCAUGCGUAUGUCAUAUCAGUUGCUGAACAAACUUUGCCUUUUAAUUUUGUAGGCAUUACUAUCUCAAAUUUUCUAUUAUCAUAAAUGAAUUUUCUUUUUCUUUUUAACAAAUCAUAAAUGAGAUUAAGAUAAUUUUUUUUUUUUAAAAAAAAAGAAAACUGGAGAUUUCUUUUUAUAUUUCCUUAAAAAAUGAAGAAAAGUUUAGAAAGUAGUGAGAGAUGGAGAAAUAAAGUAUUUAUAUUCAUAAAUAUAAUUUGUUUGGUGCAGCAACACAAACUAAUAAAUUAUAACUUAUGGGAUUAGUUUACAGAAUCUUACAUAUAAAAUUAUAUCCUCUGAAUAAAAAUCUUCACACCUCUUUUGACUUCUCAUUUAGACCCCCUUUCUGGAACCUCUUCAGCGAUAAACACAUUUUCAUUAAGCAAAACAGAAAAAAUUAUAUAUAAUUGUUCAUAACGACCAUUUCAUUUGUACAUAGUAUGUAAUUGGCCACUAAAAUUAUUUGAGGGGAAAAUUUACAUGAGAUGGGUGCAUCACAUUAUCAAUAUUUUAGUCUCAAUUUGAACAUACAUUCGCUGCACGAAUCUUAUUAGAAUGGUCUCUCAUAAAUUUUUCUCCAAUUUGAGAGAUAGUGGGGAGUGAUCAAAGUGCAUCUAUACAGAAUUAAUUAAAAUAAAUUUUAUUUUUUAACUAUUUUUACUCAAAGUAGUAGUUCUUCUUUUUAUUAGUGUUCUUCCAAUUAUAUCAAAUUAAGUAGUUCAUUAAAUUUUUUAAGUAACGUAUGGUCUGGAGUUUUUAUACAUCCAAUAUUAGUGUUAUUCCUUUUGCCCUUUCGAGCACGAAUUCGAAUCCAAUACUUUAUAAUAAAGAUAUAAAAUUAUUCAGUUCAAAAGAUAUAACAUUAUUAUAAUACUAAUAAUAACAUUAAAAUAUUAAAAAAUAAGUAAAAAAAAAAUCCAAAAUUUUUACUGGUAUACAACGCAUAGCCAAAGCGAUAGCGAAACAUCAAAUUGUUUUUAUUUCAAUCUUCGCGCAACUGCCGGUGACAUAUUUUUUCUCUGUUUCACGUAAAUACCCAAAACUAAACUUUGCAUGUAUCAUUCUUGUAUUUUUGUUAUUCAUUCACAGAUCCUUCUCUUCUUUGCUUUUCUUUUUUGCUGUAAUUUUUUAUUAGACACUCUGUUUCAGUUCUGUUUCUGGUUUUGUUUCAGUUUAAUAUUAUUGGUUCGGUUAUGUUCUGCUCUGUUCUCUGUUGUAUAUAUAUAUGUAUAUAUUUUUGGCCUCGAAUUGCUUUGAUCACCGGUUUUGUAAUUCAUUUAUCAUGAAUUUUAGAUACCCAUUAAACUUGUUUGGUCAUGCAUUCACUUGAUUGUUAGAUUCAGCUGCCAUUUUCAUGGUGGGUUUGUAAGAUAGUCUCUGACUAACAUACGGCAUUGAUUAUGAAUGAUGGUUUUGUGAGAUACAUCAUACAGACGUUAACUCGUAUUAAUGUGUACUCACUUCAUUCAAAAGAUUAGUGUUUUUCUCUUCUUUUUUUUUAAAUUUGAAAUGCAUCUUUUCGCAUUUUAUAGGUGAAAGAAAGAAAAAUAAUAUUGCAGAACUAGAAUAAAGAAGCCCAUUGUGGUAUCUAUUGUCCAAGGAAGCUUCAAUCGAAGUCAAAUCUUAGCAGAGCUAGGCGGAGUCGUUGCUGAAGGAAUAUAUAUUAGCAGACCCAUUUGUCCCGUACACUUCAAUUGUUGGCAGCAUUUUUGCUUGCAAGAUGGUUUGUUUUUCAUCGUUACUUACAAGCAAAUAUUUUGAAUGCAUAGUUUUUAUCUAAUUAGUUAUAAAAUUCUUAUACCCGCUGUUUUCUGUAAGAGUGUGUUCCUUUUCAGGUCUAUGAUCUUGCCCAAUUGAUGAGUGCUGUUCACUUUAAAAGUUAUUCCAGUUUCUCCUGCAUACAGCGGGCGGAGUGGAGUAACAGGUGAUCGAAUACUUUCAUUUAGUUCAAUUGACAUUUCUUUUUCAAUUGGUAAAGUUUAAUCAUUUUUGUUAAAUCGACAACUUAUGCAGGGCCAUAUCAACCGUCCAUGCCAUUUUUGUUACAGCUAUGUCUUUGUACUUCGUGUUUUGGUCUGAUCUCAGAGUUUGUGCGUAGCACACUUGUUUCUAUUGUUUGAUUGUCCCUUCAUAGACAUUUCGAUAAACUGUUAUUUUUGUUCUUUGGAAGUGAAUAUUUUCCGCAACUAGAACUCCGAAGCAUCUGGAAUGAUCCAUUUUAUGAUUCUUAAUACCUAUAAAAGAAUGUCAUAGAAAACAGUUUCCAAAGCAAGUUGCAUGUGGUUUGAAUUUGUCUUUGGAAGCCCUAAUUGCUUGGAGCACACUGUUAGCCAGUCGUGAUUCCAUCCACUUUUUUGGAUAGACAAUUAUGCAUCCAUCUGAUCUGGUCUAAACUAGUUUUUAAUAAAUAAUUGCCCAACGGUUUAGUCUGAGUGUUACAGCCCAGUCUUUGUUGUCAAUACUCUUUCCCCCGUCGUGGAUGAGCGCCAUAACAGCUUCUUAAUGUUUUGCAGUGGCUUUUGCACGGUUGUUUUUUUCCUUCUGAAGCUAGAGUAGCUAUGGAUAGAGCAGAUGCCGAUGCCACCAAUUUUUAUACUGGCCUUUCAGCAUCAAAAUCAAAAGGAUCAAGUGGGAACUUAAAGGAGGUUUAUUUGAAUGAAACACCCUCUAUGCAAGCCAAGAGACUCCAAUUAAUACUGCAAGCUCUGCUUAAAACAGGUAUUUAUCUCAACAAAAUAUUAGAACCUUUGCACCACUAGAGACAUUUUCUUAGAGCAUUUACUGGACUUUCUAUGAUUCCAGUAGAGACGGGUCGACGCUCUACCGCAAUCCAUCUGUCUAUUUAUUUUUUGUUUGGAAAUGUAACAAUUUAUAGCUGGCAAAGUAAUAGAGUUGUAUACUUGUAUUUAAUUUAUUAUUAUUAUUUUUUUAAUGACUCGGUAAUGUCAUUGUCCAUGGUGUUUUGUCAUUUCGAAAGUACUUACCCCUUUGACGCUAAGGCACAUUACAGCAGCCGAAAUUUUGAGCUUUCAGUUCUUGAUUUUAGCGUGAGGGGUAUCUUUGUCUUUUCAGUAGUCAACACACGGUCAACAAAACAGUCUACAAGCAAUCAGGGGGCAAAUCGGAUCUUUGAGUUUUCAGUAGUCAACAAAACAGUCUACAAGCAAUCGGGGGGGAAAUCGGAGAUAAGCUGAUACUUUCUAUCAUAGUGGAGAAACGCCAAACCUCAGGGGAGGAAACUGGAAAUUACCCCUUCGCGACCUGUGAACUUGGGUCAAAACUUUCAUCUUUAAACCUAAUAGGUAGAUACCAAUGGGCCUUUGGUCCAGUGGGAGAGCCCUUGCACUUAGAAUAAUGAGUGCAAGGGUUCGAGCCUCCAUAAAAGCAUUUAUGGGGCUUAUUUACAAUCCUUCCUCAAUUAUCACACAAUUGAGUGGAGCCAGUCUAUUCCUCACGAAAUGUGAGUAGAGUGGACAGCCCUCGAAUAUUUGAGAGGGUUUGAAGAAUUUGGGCAGCGCUUCAGAGGAGUACAUGCCACGAUGAAGGUCCCAAUUGUAGAAUCUGUGUGUAAAUAUUAAUUGUAAUACCUACAGUCCUGUAUAAACAGUAUUCAAAAAAAAAAAACCUAAUAGGUAGAUCGCGAUUCAAGCUUCAGUUAUAAGCAUUUCAUUGUGAUUGAUAUUAUUCUUUCUUGAUAUAUAUAUAUAUAUAUAUAUAUAUAUAUAGAUUCAGUUUGAAUAUGGUUCUUGAUGGUAUCAUGGAAAAUGCGAACGAAAAGUCAGCAUCUUUGAGUUUUGUCUCAUCAUAUCAAACUUGUUGGUCCACUAAUCAAUCAACAGGCACUUGUGAUCUUGAUAAUUUGAACUUAAGGAGGCAAAGCAGCAAUCCCAAAGAGACAUGGCUUGAAGCUGAGAUUGUUGUUGAGGGCAAAUCAGUGGCGGUUAAUCGCAGCAUAUUGUCUGAGCGCAGUCAAUUUUUUCGUCGGCUUUUUAAUUUGAGAAAUGAUGGGAAAGCCAGGUAUCUUUUGACUGAUUUGGUGCCUCAUGGGAAGGUUGGAUAUGAAGCUUUCAAGGAUACCUUGCAUUUUCUUUACACUGGAAUGAUUAAGGAAUCUCCUCCAGAAGUGUCCACGUGUGUUGAUGAUGCUUGUGCUCAUUUUGCUUGCCCUCCUGCUAUUAAUUAUGGUAUUGAGUUGAUGUAUGCUUCCGCUGCUUUUCAGAUGAAAGAACUCGUUGUUCUUUCGGAGGUAAUUGUGCUUCCCUGCUAUUUGUAUUGCUUAAAUUUAUGCUUCUUGGUAUAGUUUUAACAUAUAUGGGAUUGAAAUCAAUUUCAGUUGUGAAGCAACUUCGGUGGUUCCCAAUAUUAGGCAUUGUAGUAGAUCCAAAACUAGCUUAUUAAAAAGUGUAGAUAUCGUAGAGCCCAAAACUUCGUCUUAUCUUGCAAGAGUCUGUUGUUUUAUUUUGAAAGAGACAAAAGUGAUGAUGAUGGGCAGCGAGCUCUAGGAAUCAAUGCUUGCUGACACUGACUCCCAAGAAUCAAUGAGUCUGAAUUUGAUAAGUGCACCUAUCCUAUCACAAAAGCUUUUGCGUUGAGUUUCUAACCAAGGAAAAUUGUCACUUCUGUCUGUAGGCUUCAUAGAUUUGUUCAAGCCUUCAAGGAUGUCUAGCUGUUACUUACCGUCCAACAAUGGUGCUACAUUUCUAGUGAAUGAUAUGUUAUUCUACAUCUGUAUAUUGCAACUUUGACAAACUUCGCCUUUCCUUUGUUGAUUCACUCGUCUCACUUUUAUUAAAUUGCCCGAUUAUGAAAUGGUCUAUUGGAGACUAGCAAUGGAAGGUUUCUUCUGGAAAAAAUUUUACUUGACCACUAAUUUUCAUUUGGGUGGGUGUCAGUUCAUGCUCUGGCUUGACUGUUCUGUUAUUUAGGUUGUUUUAUCCGUAUUUUCUCACUCACUUGAUAGUUAGUUCUCUCAUGCUUUCAAGCUCAACAGUGAAUGCGGAUGCGAGAGAUUCUCUUUUUUCCCGUACAGGCUAUAACCUAGCAAAUCAUUAAUGCUGUAGAAUAACAUCUUGUGUAGGUGAGCUUAUGUCUCUGAACAUUGGUCCAUCGGCAUUUAGGUUCGAUAAGCAUGGCACUGAUUUUCCCCCUCAUUAUUAUUUUCCUACACAGAUUAUCCCUGUUAAGUAUUUGAAUUUUGAAUAUAUUAUUCUGAAUCAAAACUCUAUCUGUCUGUGUAGCAUUUUGUAUAUGCUUUAUGAUGUUUACCAAUAAUUACCCACUAUGGGGUAUUUGAAUUUUGAAUAUAUUAUUUUGAAUCAAAACUCUGUCUGUCCGUGUAGUUUAGGCUUCUGUACAUGGCUGGGAAGGCUCCUGUGGAAGAUGUAAUCCCAAUUCUCGUGGCUGCCGUCCAUUGCCAACUGAACAUGCUCCAUUCUUACUGCAUCCAGAGAAUUGCAGGGUCAAAUCUUGACAAUCUUUGUCUCGAGAAAGAGCUUCCUGAUGAAGUUUCAAGAGAAAUCAAAUCACUCCGUGUCAAAUCCAACCAGGAGUCUGAAGCUAAUAUAGCAGAAGUGGAUCCUAUGCAUGCAAAAAUAGUCAGAAGUAUCCAAAAGGCGCUGGACUCUGAUGACGUUGAACUGUUGAAGCUUCUUCUGGAUGUAUCUAAUGUCACUCUGGAUGAUGCUUAUGCUCUGCACUAUGCUGCUGCCUACUGCAGCCCUAAGGUUUUUAAGGCAGUGCUCAAUAUGGACUUGGCUGGUCUCAAUCUUAAGGAUGCAAGAGGUCGUACGGUGCUUCAUGUGGCUGCAAGGCGUAAUGAGCCAGAAGUGAUGGUGACUCUGCUGAGCAAGGGAGCAUGCGCGUCAGAAACUACAUCAGAUGGGCAAACAGCUGUAGCAAUCUGUCGGAGAAUGACAAGGCGAAAGGAUUAUAUUGAAGCUUCAAAGCAGGGGCAGGAAACUAACAAAGACCGGUUAUGCAUUGACGUCCUUGAGAGAGAGAUGAGAAGGAACUCCAUGUCUGAGAACUUGGCAAUGUCAUCGGAGGGGAUGGAUGAUGAUUUCCAAAGGAAGCUGGACUUUCUGGAAGAAAAAGGUGAUAUUUCUUUACGGGUAUUAGUUCAUCACCUUCUCAGAGUUUUUGCUAUGCACACUUCUUUGUACUGUUUGUUUGUCCCUUCAUAUGGAAAAUAGAGGUGAUAUUCCUUUACUGGUAUUAGUAAAUCAUCUUCUCAAGAGUUUGUGAGUCCCUUCAUUUUAGCAUCUCGAACACGCAUGGGCUCACUGCUUGGGGCACACUGUUGGCCAGUCAUGUGAUUUGAUCCCCUUUUUUGGAAUAGAGAAUUCUGAAUCCAUCUGAUCUAGGCUUGGUGGUUUGCACUGAACUGGUUUUUGAUAAAUAAUUGUACAAGACUUUGUCAUCAAAACCUUUUUUUUUUGUUUUUUGUUUUUUGUUUUCCAAAGGUAAAGAGGUACAAUACAAUUUAUGCCUAUCCUGGAUGAGUGCCAUAACAGCUUCUUAAUAUUUUGCAGUGGCUUUUGUACGGUUUUUUCCUUCUGAAGCUAGAGUAGCUAUGGAAAUAGCAGGUGCGGAUACCGCCACUGGCCUUUCAGCAUUAGGUCAGAAAGGACUAAGUGGGAACUUAAAGGAGAUUGAUUUGAAUGAAACGCCCUCUAUGCAAGCCAAGAGACGCCAAUUGAGACUGCUAACUCUGCUUAAAAUAGGUAUUUAUAUACUUUAUUAACUUUUGCACCUUUCUAUUUACUGAUUAUCUUUAUAAUUAACUAAUACAUGUAUCCUCGUUUCUCCUUCCAUUUCAUUAAAGGGAGGUUAUUGGGAAGUUAAAAUUGGUAGUUGUGGGAAAAGGGUAAUGGCAGUUAUAAAAUCUCUUUUAUAGCAAAUUCAAAUCAAGUUUCAAAUUUUAGGAGUACUUAAUUCAAUAAAAUAAGGAAUAAAUAAAGCUUUCAUUGAAACAAAACUAAGUAAAAAUAUUCCCAACGAAUGAGCACUUCUUAAUUUUCAUUUAUAAGAAAAAAGAGAGAGAGAGAGAGAGAGAGAGAAUUUAUAAUAAAAAAAUAUAACUACACAUUAGUUAAACCCUAAUGAGCUACGGGAAAGCUUCUCCACCGCCGCUGGCGAGCGACCGUUUCACCAAAAAGACAAAGUUUAGGGCUGAAGGGGCUGAUGGAGAUAACCCUAAGCCCUUAUCCUACCGUGAUAUUGCCAUGGAGGCGAAUGGGGGUUCUGCAAAUAUGGGGUUUGGCAUGAGGGACGAGUGGGAACUGGAAGAGGAGGAUGUCUGUUGCAAGGAGGACGAAUCUAUGCCCUAUAUUGCUUUCUCACAAAGGGUUCACGAUCGACUAGCAAAACCUUGGGCGAACUCAGUUGUCGUUAAAACUCUUGGACGAAACUUGGGAUAUAGAGUUAUCAGCGAGCGUUUGAAAAGACUCUGGAGUUCUACAAUGGGUUUCUCCAUCAUUGACUUAGCUAAUGAUUACUACUUGGUCCGUUUUCAGAACGAGGGAGAUGUGGAAUAUGCUCUUACUGAGGGGCCUUGGACCAUCAUGGGGCAUUAUCUUUUUGUUCAGCAAUGGACACCGGAGUUUGAUGCUACCACGAAUAGAGUUGAUCGGAUUGUGGCUUGGAUUCGUUUGUCUGGCAUGAAUAUUCACUUUUAUCAUAAAACUAUUAUUCGGCGGUUAGGGCAAAUUGUUGGCCCGGUCAUCAAGAUAGACUAUCUCACUGCCGCAGCCCAAAGGGGAAAAUUCGCUCGCAUUGCGGUUCAACUAGACCUUGACAAGCCGCUGGUUUCUCAAUUUAAUUUUGAGGGAAGAAUCCAAAAGGUGGAGUAUGAAAAUCUGCCCAUGAUUUGUUUUUGUUGUGGCAAGUUUGGCCAUUAUCAAGAUGCUUGCCCUGACGGUGGUACCACGCAUGUGGAAGCGGCACAGCCAACUUCUUGUCCUGUUGCUGCAAACCAGAAUAUUGUGGUGGAGGAGGGUUCUAACCAAAAUGAGUCUAAGUUUGGAUCGUGGAUGGUGGUAACCCGUAAACCUCGCCCUCGUAGAUCUACAGAAAGGGUUUCUUCUAAGGUCUGGGUUCAGGAUCAACAGGGGCUGAAUGUUCGUGUGUCGCGGUUUGAUGUUUUAGGCAAAGUGAUGGAUGACGAAAUUGUACCACAAAAUCAGGACAACACUUCGGUAGUCCAUCAGGAAAUCCUGGAGCCAACAGUAGAAAACCCCAACACAUUAGCCCCAAAAUCCAGGAGCAUGAAAAAGAAACAAGUGAGUCACUUUAUGCGGAAAUAUCCUACCAAGAAAAUUUCAGUUUCGGCAAACAACUCCAUAGCUGAAAAUAUCAACCCAAACAAUCAUAGCCGUGGCCAGACUUUCCAACCACAUAAGCCUACCCUAGCCAUGCAAGGCAUGCACGCACAUCUCAAGGUUCUUACAACAUCUGAACCAAGUGCCACCUCCGAUGUUCCCUGUAGCUCCAUGCAUGGCAUGCAUGCCCAUCCCAACACACUGGCUGCUUCUCCGAUGCCUGUUCAUGUAACCCUUAACCCGUUAAACCACAGUGCAGUUUCUUUCCCCAACCUUCAGCUACAAUUUCCUCAUCCUCGGUCUCAUCAUGAACACUUGCCUGAGGGAGUUUUGGCCCUAAAUUUGGAUAAAGAGCCUCCCGAUGAGGAUGGAAUGGAGAGCCCUAAGUUCCGGGGGGGAGAUUUUAGGGAGCUUGAUUCAGAUGUUGCGGGUAGGAUUUUGCCUUCAACUGAUGACGAUAAUUCAGGGGUUCCUGACACCUUCAUGGAUGAUGAAGCUGAAGCCAUAGGGCUGUCUUAGUUUCGCCCCCGUUCCCCUUUUAAAAUAUUUUUGUUAUGUGUAUUACAACUAUGUUUUGGAAUGCUCAAGGUGCUGCCUCACCGUCCUUUCGUCGUUCUUUCUCUGCUGUGGUUACCAAUUACAAGCCCAUAAUGGUGGUGUUAAUGGAGCCUCGCAUCAGUGGGUCCAAGGCGGAUAACUUCAUCAAGAAUAGUGGUUUUGAAAAGUCUCACCGAGUGGAAGCUGAGGGUUUUUCGGGCGGCAUUUGGAUCCUUUGGAAAAAUUUAUUUGAUGUUGAGAUAGUGGAGAAUCAUACUCAAUUCAUUCACCUCAAGAUUUCAAGGAACAAUAAUCUUCUAACUUGGAUGACGGCAAUCUACGCUAGUCCUAAUCCAAGCAUUAGGAGGCAUCUUUGGAAUGAGUUGGCAAAGAUUGCUUUGACUGUCCAGGGCCCUUGGUUGUUAGGUGGAGAUUUUAAUACUAUUCUGUAUAAUUCUGAGAAGAAAGGAGGAUCUCCGAUGGGCGCAGGAGUGUGCAGACUUUUUCAGUCUUGGUUUCAUAGUCACGGCAUGCAUGACCUUCCUUUUCAUGGGCCACGUUUUACUUGGUCUCGCGGCAAUCUUUUCAAACGUCUUGAUAGAGUGAUUUGCAAUGGAGAUUGGGCUCAGACUUAUGCUGCCUCUACUCUCCUUCACCUUCCAAAGUUUAUUUCUGAUCAUCGGCCUCUUCUAGUGAAAGAGAAUAUUAAUCCUCCGAGAAAUUUGAAUUCUAGGCCGUUUCGUUUUCAGGCGGCUUGGCUCACGAAUGAUGGUUUCAAGGAUUUUGUGGCCACUUCAUGGGAUCGGAACGUCACCUAUAUGGAGGCGGCAAUUUUUGGCGGAAACGACGAUUAAUGGCUCGGCUGGGGGGAAUUCAGCGGGCCUUGGAGAAGUAUAGUUCUCAAGGGCUCCUUGAGGGGGAAUUCAGCGGGCCUUGGAGAAGUAUAGUUCUCAAGGGCUCCUUGAGCUUGAAUUAAAGUUGAGAACCGAGCUUGAAGGCUCCUUUUAGGUGAUCGUAACACUUCCUACUACCAUCAGAAAACUUUAUCUAGAAGGCGUCGGAAUCAUAUUACAGCCAUUAAAAAUAAUGCGGGCACUUGGAUUUAUGAUAAAGAGGAAAUUAAGCAGCAUGUGAUUCAGUUCUAUUCAUCCCUGUAUUCUUGCGACUCGCCAAAUUUCCGGGCAUAUCCGCAUCCGAACUCUUUUCCUAUUAUUAAUGAUAAGGAGCUUCAAUAUCUUCAGGGGAAUGUGGAUGAUGAUGAAAUUAAAAGAACCAUCCUUGGCAUGCACCCUCUCAAGGCCCCGGGUCCGGAUGGCCUCCAUGCCAUUUUCUAUCAAACACAGUGGGAUACGGUUGGCCCAUCUCUUUGCUGCUUAGUGAAAGAUGUUUUUCAGCAUAAACGUUUGCCGGGGGAUCUAAAUGCUACAUUGCUUGCGCUUAUUCCAAAGAUUGAGAAUCCCUCUUCUUUGAAGUUGUACCGUCCCAUCUCUCUCUGCAAUGUAGCGUACAAGACCAUUACCAAGAUUAUUGCCAAUCGGCUCCAAUCGAUUUUACCUCAUCUGAUUGGCCCCCACCAAACUAGCUUUGUUCCCGGUCGUCACAUAACGGAAAAUAUUGUGAUCGCUCAAGAAGUCAUCCAUUCCAUGAGGAAAAAGACUGGUGCUAAAGGUUUUAUGGCGAUCAAGGUUGAUCUUGAGAAGGCGUAUGAUCGCCUUAGUUGGGAAUUUAUCAAUGAUACUUUGUGCGAAGCUCAAAUUCCCCCCGAUCUCAUUCAGACUAUUAUGGCUUGUAUUACCUCAGUCAAAAUGCGGGUUUUGUGGAAUGGGGAAGUGACGGAUGAAUUCGUUCCUUCCCGUGGAAUUCGCCAGGGUGAUCCGUUGUCUCCUUAUCUUUUUGUUCUCUGCAUCGAACGCUUGAGCCAUGGGAUUCAUAAUGCCGUGACUGCUGAUAAGUGGAAACCGAUUCAUUUGGCUCGCAAUGGUAUCCCUCUCUCUCAUCUUUUCUUUGCGGAUGAUCUCCUGUUGUUGGCUGAAGCUUCUAUUGAGCAAGCUCGUAUUCUAUCGGCAGUCUUGGAUGCUUAUUGUUACAGUUCAGAAGCUAAGGUUAAUGUUAACAAGACUAUGUUAUACUUUUCCAAGAAUGUAAGGGGUAUAGAUGUGGCCAGGAUCUCGGGUAUUCUUGGUUAUUCUGUCACGCAGGAUCUUGGGAAGUAUCUUGGGGUCCCUCUCCACCACUCACGGGUCACCAAUAAAAUGUUCCAGGAUAUUAUUGAUAAAGUUGAAAAGCGGCUCUCUGGCUGGAACGCUUCCCAUUUGUCUCUGGCUGGCCGCAUUACUCUGGCUCAGUCGGUCCUUCAGGCUAUUCCCAUUUACGUCAUGCAAACUGUUUCUAUUCCGGCUAGUAUCAGAGAGAAGAUUGAUAGGGCAUGCAGGCGCUUUAUUUGGAGUGGCUCUUCACCUAAUCAAAGCCUUAGCAUGAUCAGCUGGAAGGAUAUUUGUAAGCCAAAGUCAGCCGGGGGGUUGGGGUUCAAAUCCUUGGCUAUCAUGAACCGGGCCCUUCAUAUGAAACUUGCUUGGGGUCUCCUCUCUUCCCCAAACAGCUUCUGGGUUCAGGUCCUUGUCUCUAAAUAUGGGGUUGACAUUCGCAAUCCGCCUCUUUUGCUUCCAACGCGCUAUGGUUCUCACUUGUGGAAGUCUAUCGGAAAUGUGUGGAGUGAUGUUUUGGCAAGCCGACGCUGGUGCUUGGGAGAUGGUAAAUCCGUUUGGUUUUGGUGGGAUCUUUGGGUGACUAAGGAUGUCCCUCUUGCGGCUUAUACAACCAAUAAUCUUCCUAGCAAUAUCUUAAACGGUAAAGUGGCUGAUUUUGUUAAAGAAGAUGGUUCCUGGCACUGGGAGCGUUUUGAACAAUUUCUUCCUGCUAAUAUCAUUAUUCAGAUUGCGGCUUUUCAUCCCCCAUCCCCUGAUAAGGGUACGGAUUCUUUGUUUUGGACUCACUCCAAAUCUGGGCGUUUCACUACUCACUCGGCCUACUUGGCCUUUUCGAAUGAUACUCCCAUGAAUGAUGACAGGCUCUGGCGUACGGUUUGGAGUUGGAAGGGUCCCCAAAGUGUGAGGAUCUUCUUAUGGCAAGCAUUUCACGAUCGUCUGAAAACUAAGGCCGAAUUAGUUCGUCGUCACAUCCCGGUAUCAACCUCCUGCGACCGGUGUGGGGCUGCGACUGAGGAUGCUAUGCAUGUCUUGCGGGACUGUGCUUUGGUUAAGCGUUUCUGGCUCCUGAUUCUCCCAGAAAAUAAACGACAACAAUUCUUCAAUUGGCGGCUCCAUGAUUGGCUUCGUACGAACCUGGGAAUGGUCGGAGGGCUAGGGAGUGUUUCUAAUUGGGCCAUCUUCUUUGGUAUUGCUCUCUGGAGACUUUGGUUUUGGAGGAACCAAUUCAUCUUUAAUCAAGUUUCUAUGGAUCCGAAUACUGUUUUAAUGGAUGUUUUUAUGCGCACUGCGGAAAUGCAUAAGAUUCAUUCUCAUCCGCUUACCUCAGGACAUACAAGAGUGAUGAGAUGGAUUUCUUGGAAACCUCCAGAUUGGCCUUGGUGCUCUCUGAACACGGAUGGUGCCCAUAACAGGGAGGGAAUUUCUUCUGCUGGGGGAUUGAUUCGCGAUCACAUGGGUCGCUGGAUAAGUGGUUUUGGGAUGAUGAUAGGUUCCUGCUCUGUUACAGUAGCGGAGCUUUGGGGUUUGUAUCAAGGGUUGCAGCUAGCCUGGAAUUCUGGUAUAAGAAAGCUUAAAGUGGAAAUAGAUAGUCGUUGUGUGCUGCAGUUGGUGACCAAGCCAACAUUGGAAAUCAAUCACUAUACUCCUCUGAUUCGAGCUAUCAAGGAUUAUCUAAAGAUGGAUUGGCAAGUUUCUGUUUCCCAUAUUUACAGAGAAGCUAACUUCGCAGCGGAUUAUAUGGCGAGCCUAGCCUUCUCUAUCCCUCUUGGUCUUACUAUCUACCAUACUCCCCCGUUGGGUGCUAGACCCUUUUUGUUUAAGGAUGCUUAUGGGGUUGCCCAUUCUCGCUCGAUUGUUCUUUAGCUCUGCCUAGAGCCCCUUUUUACCAAAAAAAAAAAACUAAGUAAAUUCAUUUAAAGCAAAAAAGGAUGCGAGCAUUACUAUGGGUUCUUAUGUUUACCCGCAGUCAGACAUCUGGGACCUUGUUAUUUGGAGACGAGACUUGAUUGUGCCAUGUUUUCCAUAGCCAGAUAUCUUUUAGUUCAUUAUUUCGUAGACAUCUGUGGAUAAGAGAACCCUAAGGGUGCGUUUGGUACAUUGUAUUGUAUUAUGCUGUAUUGUAUUAUUUUAAUACUAAUGUAUUGUAUUAUGUUGUAUUGCAUUAGCACUGUAUUAUAAUAAUGCUAUACAAUGUUUGAUGUUACACUGUACUGUAUUAGAUUUUAAUUAUAUUAUAUUACAAUUGUUGUAACAUAAACACGACCAAAAUAAAUUGUACUAAAUAAUCUAAGUAAGAGUUCUGUAGUAUAUGUAAUAAUACUAUUUAUAUUAUUAUUAUUAAUAAUUCUAAAUUAAUAUUAUUUAAUUUUAUUCAUAUUUAAAUAUGUAUUAUUAGUUUAUUAAAUUAUUUAAAAAUAAUUAAUUUUUAUAUAUUAAUUAUUGUAACUUAAUUAAAUAAUGUAAUGCUAUAUUAUAUUUUUAUAUACUAUUUAAGUAUUUAUUAUUAAUUAUAUUCAAUUAUAAAUUUAUUAAUAAAUUAUAAUGUAAAAAUAAAAAAAAUAAAAAUUAAUAUGUAUAAUAUUAUAUUAAAUUAAAGUUUUAUUUUUAUUACUAUUAUUAUAAAGUAAAAAAAAAAAGGCAAGCUACUGACUUUUGAAACACAAAAGUCAGUAAUACAGCCUAAUCACGAGGGGGGGCGCGAGUUUUGAUAAUGCGGCAAAAGCUGCAUUGUAAUGCUGCUCAAUAUAAUCCAUUUGAUCACCAAACACAUGUAUAUUUUAACUAAUGCUGGGCCCACAAGAUAAUACAAUGCAAUACCACAUGCCAAACAUACCCUAAUGGUGCGUUUGGUACACUGUAUUGUAUUAUGUUGUAUUGCAUUAUUUUAAUAUUGGUAUAUUGUAUUAUGCUGUAUUGCGUUAGCAUUGUAUUAUAACAAUGUUGUACAAUGUUUGGUGUUAUACUGUAUUGUAUUAAUUUUUAAUUAAACUAUAUUUGAUGUUACAUUGUAUUGUAUUAAUUUUUAUGAUUAAUUAAAUUAAAUAAUUAAAAAUUAUAUUUAUUAAUACUUAGAAAAAUAAUAAAUAUAGAAAUCUUAAUUGUAGAAAUUUAACAAUUUUUUAGUAAAUAUUAAAAAUUAAUGAUUAAAUUUCUAAAAUUUGUAUUAUAAUUAUGAUAAAAUAAAUUUAUAAAAUUUAAUAUUAUAUGUAAAUAAUAAAUUUAGAUUAUAAUUAAUAUUAUAAUUGUUAAUAUAAAUUAAUAAAUUAUUAUUCAACAAUAUUAAAUUAUAUUUUAAUUUACAAUAUAUUAUUAUUUUUACAUUUUAAUAUAUUAAUAAAUUUAUAAUUUAAUAUAAAUAUUUAUAAAUAUUUAAAUUUGUAUAAAUUUAAAUAAUUUUAAUUUUAAAAUUAAUAUUAAUGUAAAUAAUAUUAUAAUAUUAAUAUAAAUAAUAUUAUAAUAUUAAUAUAUUAUUUACAUUAAUCAUUAAUAAAUAAAAUAAUAUUAUCAUAUAAUUUGUUUUUAUAUUUUAUUCAUUAUAUUAGUAUUUAAUAAUAAAAUAAUUUAUUUUUAUAAUAUUUUAAUAAAAUAAAUUUGCCUCAAUUGAGGCAUUAACUGUUGCCUCAAUUGAGGCAAAAAGCUUCCGCAUUACGCAAACCCAUCGGGUUUGCGUAAUGCGGCCCCAUGCCUCAUUAUGCUGCAUUAUAAUGCAGUAUAAUAAGGUCUCAAAUUUUACCAAACAUCUUUUUGGCAAUAAACUAAUGUGAAUAGUGGUAUAAUACCACACAAUCCCAUGCACCAAACACGCCCUAAGCGUAUUGAGAAUAAAUUUCGUGAUCCAAGACUCUUCAGUUCUUUCAUUUGUGGCUAAUUAGUUAUAAAAUUUGUGAAUUUCAUGCCCCAUGCCCCUUGCAAAAUGUAUUUUAUAUCCUUAAGAUGCCGGUUGUUGAACUGAAAUAAUAAAAAAUGGAAAACAGACUUAAUGCUGAUAGCAUUUCUUCAGAAAAACUUGGGAUGUUUAUAAGUUUCUUAGAGCAUUUGCUGAACUUUCUGUGAUCGCAGUCGAGACGGGUGAACGAUACUUCCCUCAUUGCUCAGAAUUGGUUGAUCGCUUUUUGCAUUGGCCCUAUGCUUCCACCCCAGAAAUGGACGAGGAGAAACUUAAAGUAUACGUGCAGGAGGCACUCCGCAAGGACGUGGCUUAUCACCGUCGUUCAGGGCUGCCAUCAUCCUGGUCGGCAUUUUACAAGUACAUGGCUGAGAGCAAUCAGUCGGCAUUUUACAAGUACCUGGCUGAGAGCAAUCGUUCAGGAAUGUCGACAUCCUCGGCAGCGGAAAACUAAAGGAGUUGAGUGAGCUCUGCUCGAUUGGUUUUUGUAGUUUCUUUUUUUUUUUUCCUCAAGUGAUCUGGCAUGUAUCAAUUAGUUUGUAAAGUUAUUGUAUUGUCUCAAGUCCGGUAAGAUGCGCGAACGUAUAGCAUGGAUCACAAACUCAUUUCAUAGAUUAUUUUUUUGUAUAAUUAUAUAAUUUAUAGGCUUUGCUUAAAAAAUUAAAAAAGAAAAAAAGAAUUGUAUUACAAUUGGUAUGAGGCAUGCUUGUGUGUGUCAUAUCAGUUGCUGAACAAACUUUGCCUUUUAGUUUUGUAGGCACUACCAUCUCAAAUUCUUUGUUAUCAUGAAUGAGUAUUUUUUUUCUUUUUUUUCUUUUUUAACAAAUCAUAAAUGAGAUUAAGAUAAUCUUUUUUUAAAAAAGAAAAAAAAUGGAGAUUUCUUUUAUUUUUCCUUAAAAAACUGAAGACAAAUUUAGAAGGAAGUGAGAGACGGAGAAUUAAAGCAAUUUUAUUCACAAAUGUAAUGUAUUUGGUGCAGCAAUACAAACUAAUAAAUUAUAAUUUAUGAGACUAGUUUACAGAAUCUUAUAUAUAAAAUUAUAUCCUCUGAAUAAAAAUCUUCUCACCUCUUUUGACUUCUCAUCUAGUUUACAGAAUCUUAUAUAUAUAACACAUUUUUAUAAAACAAAACAGAAAAAAAAAUUAUAUAUAAUUGUCACAAGGACUAUUUCAUUUGCACAUAGUACGCAAUUGGUCACUAAAGUUAUUUGAGGAGAAAAUUUACAUGAGAUGGGUACAUCAUAUUAUCAGUAUUUUAGUUUAAAUUUGAACAUACUAGAAUGGUCUCUCAUAAAUUUUUCUCCAAUUUGAGAGAUGGUGGGGGAGUGGGGUUAAAGUGCAUCUACAUAGGAUUAAUUAUAAUUAAAUUUAUUUUUUAAAACUAUUUUAACUAGAAGCAGUGGUAAUUCUUUUUAUUAUUGUUAUUCAAAUUAUAUCAAAAUCUCGUGACUCGUGAUCAAAUUAAGUAGUUCAUUAAACUUUUUUAGGUGACGUAUGGUAUGGAGUUUUUAUAAAUCUAUAAAUAUAGUAAAAUAUUUAAUUUUGCUUGUCGUAAACUUUUAAUUUGCAUGGGUUAAAAAAGAAAAAAAGAAAUUCACUUAUUACUUAAUUAACAAUUAUAGAAAGAAUAAAUAGAAAAUUAUAGUUGCGUGAGAAAACCCUCGUGAAAAGGGCUCCGGAUUUCCUUUCCAUGGCUUCGUGCGUUUCCUUUUGCCCUUUCGAGCACGAAUUCGAAUCCAGUACUUUAUAAUAAAGAUAUAAUAUUAAAAAAUAAGAAAAAGAAUCCCAAUUUUUACUGGUAUAUAACGCAUAGCCUGCAUUAUGAAACACUCUUUUACUAUUCUUUUCUUUUCUUUUCUCUUUUGCUGUAAUUUUUUAUGAAACACUCUGUUUCAGUACUGUUUCUGGUUUUGUUUCGGUUUAAUAUUAUUGGUUCGGUUCGGUUCUGCUCUGUUCUACGUCGUAUGUAUAUAUGUAUAUAUUUUUGGCCUCGAAUUGCUUUCAUCACCGGUUUUGUUAUUCAUUUAUCGUGAAUUUUAGAUGACUUGUUCGGCCAUGUUACAUUCAGCUACCAUCUUCAUGGUGGGUUUGUAAGAUAGUCUCUGACUAACACAUGGCAUUGGUUAUGAAUGAUGGUUUUGUGAGAUACAUCAUACAGACGUUAACUCGUGUUAAUUUGUACUUACAUCAUUCAAAAGAUUAGUGUUUUUCUCUCUUUUUUUUAAAAAAAAAAAAAAUUGAAAUGUCCCUUUUCGCAUUUUAUAGAUGAAAGGAAGAAACAUAAUAUCGCAGAACUAGAAUAAAGGAGCCUAUUGUGGUACCUAUUGUCCGAGGAACCUUCUGUAUAUUCGGUAGGAACUACCAUGGGAAGUCAAAUCUUACCAGAGCCAGGCGGAGUCGUUGCUGAAGGAAUAUAUAUUAGCAGAUCCAUUUGUCCCGUACACUUCAAUUGUUGGUAGCAUUUUUGCUUGCACGAUGGUAUGUUUGUCAUCGUUACUGCGCGGUGGUAUUUACUAGAAAAUAUUUUGAAUGCAUAGUUUUUAUACCCUCUGUUUUCCAUAAGAAUGUGUUCCUUUUCAGGUCUAUGAUCUUGCCCAAUUGAUUAGUGUGCUGUUCACUUUAAAUCUGAUUCCAGUUUCUCCAACAUACAGCGGGUCGAGUGGAGUAACAGGUGAUUGAAAAUUUUCAUUUAGUCCAAUUGUCAUUUCUUUCUCAAUCGGUAAAGUUUAAUCAUUUUCCUUAAAUCGAUAACUUAUGCAGGUCCAUAUCAACUGUCCAUGACAUUUUUAUUACAACGAUGUCUUUGUACUUUGUGUUUUGGUCGGAUCUCAGAGUUUGUGCAUAGCACACUUGUUUCUACUGUUUGUUUGUCCCUUCAUAGACAUUUCGAUAAACUGUUAUUUUUGUUCAUUGGAAGUGAAUAUUUUCAGCAACUAGAACUCCAAAGCAUCUGGAAUGAUCCAUUUUAUCAUUCUCAAUACCUAUAAAAGAAUGUCAUAGAAAACAGUUUCCAAAGCAAGUGGCAUGUGUUUGGAAUUUGUCUUUGCAAGCCACUAAUUNNNNNNNNNNNNNNNNNNNNNNNNNNNNNNNNNNNNNNNNNNNNNNNNNNNNNNNNNNNNNNNNNNNNNNNNNNNNNNNNNNNNNNNNNNNNNNNNNNNNCGGGUUUUUUUUUUCUUUUAAAACAAGGGGAGUUUGGGAACCCCCCCCUUUUUUUUUUUUAAUUUUUUCCCCCCCCCCCCCCCCCCCCCCACCACACCAAAAAAAAAAAAAAAAGAAUUGAGAUACAAAAUAAUUUAUUCCUAUCAUGUAUGAGUGCCAUAAAAGCUUCUUAAUGUUUUGCAGUGUUUUUUGCGCGGUGGCUGUUUCCUUCUGAAUCUAGAAUAGCUAUGGACAUAGCAGAUGCAGAUGCCACCAAUAUUUGCACUGGCCUUUCAGCAUCAAAAUCAAAAGGAUCAAGUGGGAACUUAAUGGAGGUUGAUUUGAAUGAAACACCCUCUAUGCAAGCCAAGAGACUCCAAUUAAGACUGCAUGCUUUGCUUAAAACAGGUAUUUAUAUACCUUAUUAGUUUUUGUAUGUUUAUAAUUACUGAUUUUUGCAUCAAAAGAGAGAGGUUAAUUUUUAGUACAUUUACUGAACUUUCUAUGAUUGCCGUGGAGACAGGUCGACGCUACUUCCCUCGUUGCUCAGAAAUGGUUGAUAAAUUUUAGGAUUGUGAUUGGUCCGAUGCUUCCCUCCUAGAAAAAGGGUACUCCUAAAGAGCAGAGACUCAAAAGGGCACGCUUCAUGGAACUUAAAGAAGACGUGAAGAAGGCAUUUUACAAGGACAUGGCUGAGAAAAAAUGGCUCAGGUUUGUAGUCAUCCUCGUUUCUCCGAAGGAAGGAGUAAAGUGUAAGGGUAGGAAAAGGUGAUGCUUAGCUGCUUGUCUUUGUUAUUCAUUUAUAGGCAACUAAAAGAGAUUUAGUGAGUUGGAUUGUUACUUGUAGAGAGAUACUCUUCGAGCCUAUGUUAUGGCUUAUGUUGUAUAAUAGCAGAGGAACUUCAAGCUUGCGUAGUUGUAUUUUCUCUGGUAUUUGGCAUGUAAUGCACUAAAUGACAAAGAAUUUUCUAAUUUUAGAGGGAAAAGUUAUGUCAGUUAAUUAUUUAUUUAUUUUGUCUGUUUAAUUCAGUUUAUAAUAUAGCUUUUUUUUUCUUUCUAAAAAAAAAAAAUUCUCCAUAUCUUCAUCUGCAAUUUAAGUCAUUCGUUACUUGUUUCAGGAUGGGGAGAGAAAAAAAAAAGAAAAAAAGAAAAGAAGCAUUUGUAAGUAUAUUUUACAGUACUGAUUUUCCUACAUAAAUUGGUUAAGGUGACAUUAAUGUUCUUUUAGGUAGACGGAUGUGCAGAUUUUUCGUCGAAAUUGAAAUUAGAAAUGAAUGGAUAUGCAGAAUUUUUUAAUAGAAUUUUUAUACAAAAAUUUGUAGCUCAUUACUCUCUAAAAGGAAAAAAUAAAUUUUUGAUUGUAAAUAUUAAAUUUUAAAUUUAUAAUAUAAUAACUUUGUGAGUUAAGGUGCACAAUACCCAUAUAUUAAUAAUUAAGAAAAGAAAAAAAAUUAAAAUUUGUAAAUUACCAAUUUUUUCUUGAAAUUUGAUAUUCUAUAUUAACGUAGGUGUUGCAUGGACUGGGUUAGUACAAUUGAAAGAAACUAACUAAAGUAAAACAAAAUAUCAUUAAAAAUAUGGCAAGCUUCUCAUAUUUUUUAAGUGAAAAAGAGACGAAAACUAAAAUUAAUUAUUUUUAUACCCAAAUUCUAGUGCUUGAAGGCCGCUGGAAUUGACCAUUGCAGUUUUGUCAUCCUCAUUAUUCACCGGCCAUCGUGGCCUUCCUCCAUUAAAAAAAUAAAUGACCAUUUUUUUGGACCACGACAUAUUAAAAAUAGUAUUGAUUAGUACUAAUAAAUCUCUUUUUUGAUUAUUUUGCAGUGUGAUAGUCGAGUGAGGGCAGUGCCCAUCGUAGCACUUGAACAUGUGGUAAAUUUCUGCCAGUCUUUGUAAAAUAAUUUUUAAAUUAUGUAUUAACCAGAUAGCUCAAUGAAGAUUAUCGCUCACUAAAUCAUUACUUUAUUUUGUAUAUAUUUAUGGGAAUUGUUGAAAAGAAAAAUGUAAAGUGAGAUUAAUGAACGUUUAUGAAUGUGGAAAUUAACACAACCAGGAUUUAUGAUGAAAUAAUUUUAAGUCAAAUGAGCAUAAAUUUGUAUAAAUAUUUUUUGAAUUGUCAUAUAUAUACAAGUUUGUCACUAAUAGUAAACUUAAUUAUGAAUAUUUUAAUAAUUCAAAAUUUUAUUUAACCAUCGGUGUUUAUAGUGUUUUUCAUAAUACAAAAUUGUAAACAGUCUCAUCCUGAAUAGUAUAAUGCCAAACUUUUUAAAAAAUUUAUUUUAUUAUAAUCGUCUUAGUCAGUUAUAUUUAUUUCCAAAUUGAAGAUAAAAAUAAUACUUCAUAUAUCAUACAUUACUUCAUACAUUACUUAAAAGUUUUUUUUUCAAUCAAAUUAUGAGCAAGUGAAAGGAUGCAAUAAAUUACGACUAAAAUUGUAAAAUUUACCAAUGGCUAUAUACAAAGUCUGAUUCUUAUGAGCUUAAAAGAUGGGCUUUGAAUGAUGUAUGGUUCUCAAAACUCUACUUUUAUUAAUAUGAUUGCCCUGCUUCCUUCAUGACGGGUAAUUUUUAGUUUCUUCCCCUAAAGUUUGGCGUAUCUCCAUUUUAAUAGGAAGUAUUAGCGUAUCUCCCACUUUUCUCCCCUGCCGUUAGGGAUGGCAAUUGUACCCGCAAACCCGCAAACCCGCCCAAACCCACCCGCCAAAACCCGCCCGUUGCGGGUAAUUUUAUCCGUUGCGGGCGGGUUUAGUAUUAUAAAUUAAAACCCGCAUAUGGAUGCGGGUGGGUUUGGUAUUAACCUUAUACCCGGUGGAUACCCGCAUGGAUAUCCACCAAACCCGCAAUAAUUUUUUUCAAAUAUUUUUAAUUUAAUUUAAAUAUAAAAAUAUAUAAAGAAAAUAAUGUAAUUAAUCAAAUUACCAAAUAGUAAAAGGCUCAAAGUUGUGUAUGUGUGUAUAUGGCUCAUCUCUUAUUCUAAAGUCAUAACCUAAAGAAAACUAAAGGCAUUUCCCUUCGAAUUAAUAUUUGAAAAUAUUAAUCUUAAUUAUUAUUUUAGGCAUUGUGUUAGAUGGGUGCUUAUGGUGGUGAAUAAAAUAAAUAUAUUCUCUUUGAUCUUGUUUUAAAUGAUAAUAUGAAAUGUAAUUAUUAUUUUUAGAUAUUAGUUUGUGUUUUUUAAAUAGAUUUGUAUAAUUUAUACUUAAAUUUGAGAAUUUGUGUUGAAUUGAUGUGGAAAUUUUAAUUUUUCAUUUACAUUGUUUAAAUAUAAAAUUGAAUAUGUUAUAUGGAACUUGAGGUUAUUAUUAUAAAUUUAUAUAUUAAAUAUUUGUGAUUUUAAAUACGGAAACCCGCAAAAAAUCCGCCGGAUACCAUUGCGGGUUUGGUAAUUGUUAAAACCCGCUGCGGGUGGGUUUUUUUAAAAAAAUUAAAACCCACUGCGGGUUGCGGGUGGGUUUGGUAAUUUAAAUUUUGUGCGGGUUUGGGUUUGGUAAUGGCAAACCCGCUGCGGGCGGUGCCCAUUGCUAUCCCUACCUGCCGUUUGUAUACCGUUUCAUAUUGUUAAUGGACGAAGCUACAAGUCUUCUCUUUCAUCAAAUCGAUCCAUAACAAAUACGAGUCUGCUUCACCUAACCAAAACACACACAUACUCCAUCUCUAAAUGCUUUGAAGAUAAACAAAUCAACCGUAAUCCUGCAACUUUAGCUCAGAGAAUCGGAUAAGAAAAGAACAGGUGAUGAAUCAAGGGUAAUGGCGCCGAGUGAGUGUCGCCUGCGGUCGGCGUUAGAGGCGACUGUCACUCAAUCGCGUACAAGGUUAGUCUUUGAAAAAACUCUUUGCACGUUAGAAAUCAGUGAUUGGGCAUUAUUUUUUUUAUUUAAAAAUGAAAAUGGGUUUAUUAGUUUGUCGAAGAAUCUGCUCUGUUGCCGGUGUUGUUUGUUGAUUAAAAUGAAAAUGGGUUUGUUGAUGUGUUGAAGAAGUUGCUCUACUGCUGGUGUUUUUUUAUUAAUUAAAAUGAAAAUGGGUUUGUUAAUUUAUUGAAUUGUGACUUUAUUUAUCCAAUUGAUGAGCUUAUGAGCUAAUAGUAUUGUUUGAUCAAGCUUGUGUUCUUAAUAGUGGAGUUGAUAUUCUUAAAAAUGAAUUUAUGAUUAUGAGAAUAUGAAAAUUGAAUGGCAUCGUAGAGGUCUGGAUUAAUCACCAUCGAAUAUGUUUCUAAAUAAAGGAAUAAGCAGCAAUCUGAUUUGAAACUUAAGACUUUAGGGAUAUGUAUGUGCAACUGAAUGAAUCAUCAGUUGCUAUCUUGUAAGUCAAUACUAGCAUAUUACUUAAUGGCAAGUGAAGCUAUUUUAUGUGUAUUGCUGCCUAUCAAAAUGUUUAUGUUUGAAGUUAUCUCCUUUUAGGAAAUUGAAUGCUUCUGUGAGUUCUCUGGUAAGGGCUAUACAACUAGCUCUAAUAGAUUCCUUCAUGUGCAUUAAUUAGCUUAGUAGUUUAUUGACCUAUAUCCAAUGUCUAUUCUCCUUUUCUGUAGCCGUCUAGUUUUAUGAGUGUGUGAAGUGAACUUUUGUUUUAUGUUUCAGGACUUGGGAUUAGAGUGUAUAACAUUCAAUAUCUUUAUAUCAAAGAACUGAUAUAUGUCAAUGUAGUGCGAUCUGGUCUUUAUUAGCUUCUUGAUUUGCCAGGAUGUUUGACAACCAUCUUUGACUAUGAUUGCCAACAUAUAAGCUGCUACAUAGUGUCUCAGGAAUCACAGCAAAUUAUUAUCAUAAUAUGGUGAUUUUGAAUCCAAAACUUGGUAGUGUCAAGAAAAUAGACCCAUGUUUAUUUAUCUUCAUGUUUUGUAUGCGCCUGCAAUAGACUAUUAUAAGUUACUUUUAGUUUUAUCAAGUUUUUUUUUCCUUAAAUUUCAUCGAGUCUUGGAGUCUUUGUAAUAUAGAGUCUAAGUGAAGAAUACUUGGGUGAAAUCUUGUAUUCUCUCUUCCAGUAAUAUAAUCAUCCUUUGUGUUUUUAUCUUUUUAUUUUGGUAUCAGAGCAUACUUUAUUAUAGAAGGACUUGGACUCUAUAUUACAAAGACUCAGUGGUUUCUUUUAACUGAGUUAAUAGUGUUGUUAGGUUAAACUAAGUUUGGCUUCAUAAGAUUCAUAGUAGAGUGUAGAACUGGGUACAAUUUUGGGUUAAGACAAGUCAAAAGUCUUCUCAAGUAAUUGUUCUGCUUACUGAUUUGGUAAUUGCAACAUUGCUAAAUAGUUCAAUUUGUCCUUUUUUUUUGUUGAAUUUAUUGUAUGUCAUAUUACUUCAUUUAAUUAUUUUCUCAGAUCUUGUAGGUGAAAAUUUCAGCUUCAAAGGCCAAGCUAAUCAUCCAGCAAUUCAGUGAAACCAAGACACAGUGGCUCAUAAAUUGUUGUUGGUGAUCGAGCCAUUCGGGUGCUUGCCAGUCCUAGAUGAGAGAACUUUCAACGCGGCGCAUAAAUUGUUGUUGAUCUGUUUUAUAUAUUUUGACCUUUGUGAUUUGUGAAUACAUGGUUUGAUUCCAGUGUUUACAACUNNNNNNNNNNNNNNNNNNNNNNNNNNNNNNNNNNNNNNNNNNNNNNNNNNNNNNNNNNNNNNNNNNNNNNNNNNNNNNNNNNNNNNNNNNNNNNNNNNNNNNNNNNNNNNNNNNNNNNNNNNNNNNNNNNNNNNNNNNNNNNNNNNNNNNNNNNNNNNNNNNNNNNNNNNNNNNNNNNNNNNNNNNNNNNNNNNNNNNNNNNNNNNNNNNNNNNNNNNNNNNNNNNNNNNNNNNNNNNNNNNNNNNNNNNNNNNNNNNNNNNNNNNNNNNNNNNNNNNNNNNNNNNNNNNNNNNNNNNNNNNNNNNNNNNNNNNNNNNNNNNNNNNNNNNNNNNNNNNNNNNNNNNNNNNNNNNNNNNNNNNNNNNNNNNNNNNNNNNNNNNNNNNNNNNNNNNNNNNNNNNNNNNNNNNNNNNNNNNNNNNNNNNNNNNNNNNNNNNNNNNNNNNNNNNNNNNNNNNNNNNNNNNNNNNNNNNNNNNNNNNNNNNNNNNNNNNNNNNNNNNNNNNNNNNNNNNNNNNNNNNNNNNNNNNNNNNNNNNNNNNNNNNNNNNNNNNNNNNNNNNNNNNNNNNNNNNNNNNNNNNNNNNNNNNNNNNNNNNNNNNNNNNNNNNNNNNNNNNNNNNNNNNNNNNNNNNNNNNNNNNNNNNNNNNNNNNNNNNNNNNNNNNNNNNNNNNNNNNNNNNNNNNNNNNNNNNNNNNNNNNNNNNNNNNNNNNNNNNNNNNNNNNNNNNNNNNNNNNNNNNNNNNNNNNNNNNNNNNNNNNNNNNNNNNNNNNNNNNNNNNNNNNNNNNNNNNNNNNNNNNNNNNNNNNNNNNNNNNNNNNNNNNNNNNNNNNNNNNNNNNNNNNNNNNNNNNNNNNNNNNNNNNNNNNNNNNNNNNNNNNNNNNNNNNNNNNNNNNNNNNNNNNNNNNNNNNNNNNNNNNNNNNNNNNNNNNNNNNNNNNNNNNNNNNNNNNNNNNNNNNNNNNNNNNNNNNNNNNNNNNNNNNNNNNNNNNNNNNNNNNNNNNNNNNNNNNNNNNNNNNNNNNNNNNNNNNNNNNNNNNNNNNNNNNNNNNNNNNNNNNNNNNNNNNNNNNNNNNNNNNNNNNNNNNNNNNNNNNNNNNNNNNNNNNNNNNNNNNNNNNNNNNNNNNNNNNNNNNNNNNNNNNNNNNNNNNNNNNNNNNNNNNNNNNNNNNNNNNNNNNNNNNNNNNNNNNNNNNNNNNNNNNNNNNNNNNNNNNNNNNNNNNNNNNNNNNNNNNNNNNNNNNNNNNNNNNNNNNNNNNNNNNNNNNNNNNNNNNNNNNNNNNNNNNNNNNNNNNNNNNNNNNNNNNNNNNNNNNNNNNNNNNNNNNNNNNNNNNNNNNNNNNNNNNNNNNNNNNNNNNNNNNNNNNNNNNNNNNNNNNNNNNNNNNNNNNNNNNNNNNNNNNNNNNNNNNNNNNNNNNNNNNNNNNNNNNNNNNNNNNNNNNNNNNNNNNNNNNNNNNNNNNNNNNNNNNNNNNNNNNNNNNNNNNNNNNNNNNNNNNNNNNNNNNNNNNNNNNNNNNNNNNNNNNNNNNNNNNNNNNNNNNNNNNNNNNNNNNNNNNNNNNNNNNNNNNNNNNNNNNNNNNNNNNNNNNNNNNNNNNNNNNNNNNNNNNNNNNNNNNNNNNNNNNNNNNNNNNNNNNNNNNNNNNNNNNNNNNNNNNNNNNNNNNNNNNNNNNNNNNNNNNNNNNNNNNNNNNNNNNNNNNNNNNNNNNNNNNNNNNNNNNNNNNNNNNNNNNNNNNNNNNNNNNNNNNNNNNNNNNNNNNNNNNNNNNNNNNNNNNNNNNNNNNNNNNNNNNNNNNNNNNNNNNNNNNNNNNNNNNNNNNNNNNNNNNNNNNNNNNNNNNNNNNNNNNNNNNNNNNNNNNNNNNNNNNNNNNNNNNNNNNNNNNNNNNNNNNNNNNNNNNNNNNNNNNNNNNNNNNNNNNNNNNNNNNNNNNNNNNNNNNNNNNNNNNNNNNNNNNNNNNNNNNNNNNNNNNNNNNNNNNNNNNNNNNNNNNNNNNNNNNNNNNNNNNNNNNNNNNNNNNNNNNNNNNNNNNNNNNNNNNNNNNNNNNNNNNNNNNNNNNNNNNNNNNNNNNNNNNNNNNNNNNNNNNNNNNNNNNNNNNNNNNNNNNNNNNNNNNNNNNNNNNNNNNNNNNNNNNNNNNNNNNNNNNNNNNNNNNNNNNNNNNNNNNNNNNNNNNNNNNNNNNNNNNNNNNNNNNNNNNNNNNNNNNNNNNNNNNNNNNNNNNNNNNNNNNNNNNNNNNNNNNNNNNNNNNNNNNNNNNNNNNNNNNNNNNNNNNNNNNNNNNNNNNNNNNNNNNNNNNNNNNNNNNNNNNNNNNNNNNNNNNNNNNNNNNNNNNNNNNNNNNNNNNNNNNNNNNNNNNNNNNNNNNNNNNNNNNNNNNNNNNNNNNNNNNNNNNNNNNNNNNNNNNNNNNNNNNNNNNNNNNNNNNNNNNNNNNNNNNNNNNNNNNNNNNNNNNNNNNNNNNNNNNNNNNNNNNNNNNNNNNNNNNNNNNNNNNNNNNNNNNNNNNNNNNNNNNNNNNNNNNNNNNNNNNNNNNNNNNNNNNNNNNNNNNNNNNNNNNNNNNNNNNNNNNNNNNNNNNNNNNNNNNNNNNUACCCCCCCCCCGGGCGGGGGGUGGGGGGUUUGGAGAUACGCUGAUACUUUCUAUCAUACUGGAGAUACACCUAACCUCAGGGGAAGAAAACUACACCUUUACGACGGGUGAACUUGGGUCAAACUUUCAUAUUUUAAUCAAGUAGGUCGAUCAUGAUUCAAGCUUCAGUCAUAAGCCUUUCGUUAUGAUUGAUAUUAUUCUUUCUUGAUAGUAUCAUGGAAAAUGCAAACGAAAAGGCAGCAUCUUUGAGUUUUGUCUCAUCAUAUCCGACUUGUUGGUCUACUAAUCAAUCGACAGGCCCUUUUGAUCUUGAUAAUUUGAACUUAAGGAGGCAAAGCAGCAAUCCCGAAGAGCCAUUGCUUGAUGCUGAGAUCGUUGUUGACGGCAAAUCAGUGGCAGUUAAUCGCAGCAUAUUGUCUGCACGCAGUCGUUUUUUUCAUUGGCUUUUUCAUUUGAGCAGUGAUGGUUCUGUGAGUGAGGGGAAACCCAAGUAUCUUAUGACUGAUUUGGUGCCUUAUAGGAAGGUUGGAUAUGAAGCUUUUAAUGAUAUCUUGCAUUAUCUUUACACUGGAAUGCGUAAGGCGCCUCCUUCAGAAGUGUUCACGUGUGUUGAUGAUACUUGUGUUCAUCUUGUUUGCCCUCCUGCUAUUAAUUAUGUUAUUGAGUCGAUAUAUGCUUCUGCUGCUUUUAAGAUGACAGAGGUCGUUUCGGUUUAUGAGGUAGUUGCGCUUCCCCGCUACUUGUAUUGCUUAAAUUUAUGCUUAUUGGUAUAGUUUUAACAUAUGUGGGAUUGAAAUCAAUUUCAGUUGUGACUUGCAAAGAGCCAAAGAAUCUGUUGUUUUAUUUUGAAAGAGACAAAGAUGAUGAUGAUGGGCAGUGAACUCUAGGAAUCAAUGCUUGCUGACACUGACACCCAAGAAUGAUAAAAACUAACCAAAAAGGUAUAUAGAUUACAUGAGUCUGAAUUUGAUAAGUGCACCUAUCCUAUCACAAAAAGCUUUUGCGUUGAGUUUCGAACCAAGGAAAAUUGUCACUUCUGUCUGUAGGCUUCAUAGAUUUGUUCAAGCCUUCAAGGAUGUCUAGCUGUUACUUAGGGUCCAACAAUGGUGCUACAUUUCUAGUGGAUGAUAUGUUAUCUACAUCUGUAUAUUGCAACUUUGACAAACUUCGCCUUUCUUUUGUUGAUACACUCGUCUCACUUUUAUUAAAUUGCCUGAUUAUGAAAUGGUCUAUUGGAGACUAGCAUUGGAAGGUUUCUUCUGGAGAAAAUUUUACUUGCCACCAAUUUUCAUUUUGGUCGGUGUCAGUUCAUGCGCUGGCUUGAUUGUGCUGUUAUUUAGGUUGUUUUAUCCAUAUUUUCUCACUAUCUUGAUAGUUAGUUCUCUCAUACUUCCAAUCUCAGCAGUGAAUGCGAAAGAUUCUCUUUUUCCCGUCCAGGUUAUAACCUAGCAAAUCAAUAAUGCUGUAGAAUAACAUCUUGUGUAGGUGAGCUUAUGUCUCUGAACAUUGGUCCACCGGCAUUUAGGUUCGAUAAGCAUGGCAUUGAUUUUCCCCCUCAUUGUUAUUUUCCUGCACAGAUUACCCCCUUUAAGUAUUUGAAUUUUGAAUACAUUAUUCUGAAUCAAAACUCUAUACGUCCGUGUAGCAUUUUAUAUAUGCUUUAUGAUAUUUACCAAUAAUUACCCACUGCGAGGUAUUUGAAUUUUGAAUAUAUUAUUCUGAAUCAAAACUCUAUCUGUCCGUGUAGGAUUGGCUUCUGAAGGUGGUUCGGGAGGCUCUUGUGGAAGAUGUAAUACCAAUUCUCGUAGCUGCCUUGCAGUGCCGACUGUACCCGCUCUGUUCUUUCUGCAUCCAGAGAAUUGCAAGGUCAAAUAUUGACAAUGUUUGUCUCGAGAAAGAGCUUCCUGAUGAAGUUUCAAGUCAAAUCAAAUCACUCCGGGUCAAAUCUAACCAGGAGUCUGAAGCUAACAUAAAAGAAGUGGAUCCUAUGCAUGAAAAGAGAGUCAGAAGAAUCCACAAGGCGUUGGACUCUGAUGAUUUUGAACUGCUGAAUCUUCUUCUGAAUGAAUAUAAAGUCACUUUAGAUGAUGCUUACGCUCUGCACUAUGCUGCUGCCUACUGCAACCCUAAGGUUUUUAAGGAAGUGCACAAUAUGGGCUUGGCUGAUAUCAAUCUUAAGGAUGCAAGAGGACGUACGGUGCUUCAUGUGGCUGCAAGGCGUAAGGAGCCAGAAGUGAUAGUGGUUCUGCUGAGCAAGGGAGCAUGCUCAUCAGAAACUACACCAGAUGGGCAAACAGCUGUAGCAAUCUGUCGGAGAAUGACAAGGCGAAAGGAUUAUAUUGAAGCUACAAAGCAGGGGCAGGAAACUAACAAAGACUGGUUAUGCAUUGAUGUCCUUGAGAGAGAUAUGACAACGAACUCCACGUCUGGGAACUUGGCAAUGUCAUCAGAGGUGAUAGAUGAUGUUUUCCAAAUGAAUCUGGACUAUCUGGAAAAUAGAGGUGAUAUUUCUUUACUGGUAUUAGUUCAUCACCUUCUCAGAGUUUGUGCAUAGCACACUUCUUUUUACUAUUCGAUUGUCCCUUCAUCUUAGCAUCUCAAACACAAAUGGGCUCAGUGCUUGGAGCACACUGUUGGCCAGUCAUGUGAUUUGAUCCCUUUUUUGGAAUAGACAAUUCUGAAUACUGGUCUAGGCUUGGCGGUUUGCACUGAACUGGUUUUUGAUGAGUAAUUGCACAAGACUUUGUCAUCAAAACGUUUUUUUUUGGUUUUUUUUCCCCAAAAGUAAUGAGGUACAAAAAAUUUUUUGCCUAUCCUGGAUGAGUGCCGCAACAGCUUCUUAAUAUUUUGCAGUGGCUUGUGUACGGUUGUUUCCUUCUGAAGCUAGAGUAGCUAUGGAAAUGGCAGGUGCAGAUAUCGCCAUUGGCCUUUCAGCAUUAGGUCGGAAAGGACUAAGUGGGAACUUAAAGGAGGUUGAUUUGAAUGAAACGCCCUCUAAGCAAGCCAAAAGAUGCCAAUUGAGACUGCUCACUCUGCUUAAAACAGGUAUUUACAUACUUUAUUAACUUUUGCGCCUUUCUAUUUACUGAUUAUCUUUAUAAUUAAAUAAUACAUGUAUCCAGGUUUCUCCUUCCAUUUCAUUAGAAGUAAAUUGGAAUCUCUUUAUAGUGCUCUGUUAGGUGUAAUCAGACGUAUCAAAAGAGACAGGGUAAUUGUUAGUACAUUGAUAUCUCAACAAAAUGGUAAAACCUUNNNNNNNNNNNNNNNNNNNNNNNNNNNNNNNNNNNNNNNNNNNNNNNNNNNNNNNNNNNNNNNNNNNNNNNNNNNNNNNNNNNNNNNNNNNNNNNNNNNNAACACUAAAUCUCACUAGAUCAACUCUUUACCUCUGGACUGAAGGUGUGACACCCAAACCCAAUUAGGGCUUAGAACACAUAUCGAAUCUGAGCGAAACUAAAUGCUUGUAAAUCCAAAUCUCCAAAAUAUCAAAAGGUCAUCUACUUUCUCUUUUCAUAGAUUUCACAAAAUUUUGAAAAACUGAUUCUCAAUCAUAAACUAUGCCCAGCUAAUUAAUCAACAUAUCACUAUACAACAAUACUUCCUCAUAAGCAAAUAAAUCUUACAAUCCUUCUUCCAUGAUUUAAAAAAAAAAAAGAAAUAGUUCUAGAAGUCUUCUAAAUACAAACAUAAACAGAAUUCAACUGCUAAAACUGUGCCAAAAUACUAGCUUCAAUCAGUAAUACACACGACUAAUUAUUAAAUCAGUAAUAUACACGACUAAUUAUUAAAAACAUCUAGCUAGAAACCUUAUGAAAGCUCAAUCCUUCCGAAGCAUUCUUCGAAUUAAUAAUUGCUACCAUCUGUGAAAAAUAAUUGACAAGGGGUCAGCUGUUAACUCAAUCAGUAGAAACACUAAUAAUGAACAAAAAGAAUUCUUUGUGCAAUAUUUUCAAAAAAUUCAUUUAACCUUUCAAAUGAAACAGAGUAAUUUUUCAAACACAGUCAGGACUUAUAUAAAAUAUAAACAUUUCCGACAGAAGCUUUUUGGAACGUAAAUUUUGCUUCUUUAAACAGAAAGUUAUACAUUAGUUUGAUUUUAAAGGGAGGUUAUUGGGAAGUUAAAAUUGGCAGUUGUGGUAAAAGAGUAAUAGCAGUUAUAAAAUCUCUUUAAAAACAAAUUCGAAUCAAGUUUCAAAAUUUGGAAGUACUUAAUUCAAUAAACUAAGGAAUAAAUAAAGCAUUCACUGAAACAAAACUAAGUAAAUUCAUUUAAAGCAAAACCGGAUGGGAGCAUUACCUAAGGAUUCUUGACCAUACCAUGUUUACCCGCAGUCAGAUAGCUGGGAUCUUGUUAUUUGGGGACAAGACUUGAUUGUGCCAUGUCUUCCGCAGCCAGAUAUCUUUUACUUCAUUAUUUCCUAGACAUUUGUGGAUAAGAGAACCCUAAGCCUAUAGAGAAUAAAUUAUGUAAUCCAAGACUCUUCAGUCCUUUCAUUUGUGGCUAAUUAGUUAUAAAAUUUGUGAAUUUCAUGCCCCACGCCCCUUGCAAAAUGCAUUUUAUAUCCUUAAAAUGCCAGUGGAUGAACUGAAAUAAUAAAAAAUGGAAAACAGACUUAAUGUUGGUAGCAUUUCUUAAGAAAAACUUGGGAUGUUUAUAAUUUUCUUAGAGCAUUUGCUGAACUUUCCGUGAUCGCAGUCGAGACGGGUCAACGCUAUUUCCCUCAUUGCUCAGAUGUGGUUGAUAAGUUUAGGUAUUGCAACCGCCCUCAUUGCUCAGAAUUGAUUGAUGAGUUUUUGGAUUGUGAUUGGUCCGAUGAUUCCCUCCUAGAAAAGGGUACUCCUGAAGAGCAGAAACUAAAAAGGGCAGGCUUCAUGAAACUUAGAGUAGACAUGCAGGAGGCACUCCGCAAGGACGUGGCUUAUCACCGUUGUUCAGGGCUGCCAUCAUCCUGGUCGGCAUUUUACAAGUACAUGGCUGAGAGCAAUCGUUCAGGUAUGCCGACAUCCUCAGCAGCGAGCAAUUAAGCAUCACCUUUCCCCAAAAGUUAUAUUUGACACCUGGGAAACUAAAAGAGUUUAGUGAGCUUGAUUGGUAUUUGUAGUUUUUUUUCCCUCAAGUGAUCUGGCAGAUUUCAAAUAGUUGNNNNNNNNNNNNNNNNNNNNNNNNNNNNNNNNNNNNNNNNNNNNNNNNNNNNNNNNNNNNNNNNNNNNNNNNNNNNNNNNNNNNNNNNNNNNNNNNNNNNNNNNNNNNNNNNNNNNNNNNNNNNNNNNNNNNNNNNNNNNNCAAAAAACAGUAAAACUGAGAGAUUUCUUUUAUUUUUCCUUAAAAAAUAAGAAAAAUUUAGAAAGUAGUGAGAGAAAUAAAGUAAUUAUAUUCAUAAAUAUAAUGUGUUUGGUGUAGCAACACAAACUAAUAAAUUAUAAUUUAUGAGAUUAGCCUAGAGAAUCAUACAUAUAAAAUUAUAUCCUCUGAGUAAAAAUCUUCACAUCUCUUUUAACUUCUCAUUUAGAUGUCCUUUCUAAAAUCUCUCCAGAGAUAAAUACAUUUUUAUAAAACAAAACAGAAAAAAUAUAUAUAUAUAAUUGUUCAUAAGGACUAUUUGUUCAUAGUACACAAUUGGCCACCAAAGUUAUUUUGGGAGAAAAUUUGCAUGAGAUGGGUACAUCACAUCAUCAGUAUUUUUGUCUCAGUUUGAACAUGCGUCUGUUGUACGAAUCUUACGAGAAUGGUCUCUCAUAAAUUUGAGAGAUGGUGAGGAGUGGGUUAAAGUGCAUUUACAUAGAAUUAAUUAAAAUUAAAAUUUUAGUUUUUUAACUAUUUUUAAUUAAAAGUAGUAGUUAUUCUUUUUAUUAUUGUUAUUCUCAUCAUAUCAACAUCAAGUGACUGGUGAUCAAAUUAAUUAGCUCAUUAAAUUUUUUAAGUGACGUAUGUUAUGGAGUUUCUGUGCAUCUAUUUAAAUAGUAAAAUAUUUAAUUUUGCUUGUCGUAAAAUUUUAAUUUACGUGGGUUAGAAAAAGAAAAAGAAAAAAAUGAAAAAAGAAAUUGACUUAUUAAUUAAUUAACAAUUAUAGAAAGAAUAAAUUGAAAAUUGUAGUUGGGUGAGAAAACUCUCGGGAAUUCCUUUCCCUGGCUUCGUGCGUUUGCUUUUGCCCUUUCGAGCACGAAUUUGAAUCCAAUACUUUAUAAUAAAGAUAUAAUAUUAUUAUAAUACUAAUAAUUAACAUUAAAAUAUUAAAAAAUAAGAAAAAAUUCCAAAUUUUUCUGUUUCUGGUUUUAUUUCAGUUUAAUAUUAUUGGUUCCGUUCUGCUUUGUUCUCGGUUGUCUGCAUAUCUGUAUAUAUUUUUGGCCUCGAAUUGCUUUGAUCACCGGUUUUGUUCUUCAUUUAUCGUGAAUUUUAGAUACCCAUUAAACUUGUUUGGCCAUGUAUGCACUUGAUUGUUACAUUCAGCUGUCAUUUUCAUGGUGGGUUUGUAAGAUAGUCUCUGACUAACAUAUGGCACUGAUUAUGAAUGAUGGUUUUGUGAGACACACCAUACAGACAUUAACUCUGUCAAGAUUGAUAUCUUUUCUAGAUAUUCAAACUUUCAAUAUCAAAUUCAAAAUUCUAGAUAUUCAAAGUUUGAAUAUCAAACUUUGAACUUUGAAUUUUGAAAAAUAAUAAAUAAUUAAAAAAAUACAUGAAUAGUAGCCAAGAUUUUGGCUAUAAAUAGCGGGGCUCAUAUAGAGGGGCUCAUUCCCUCAUUUGCUCAUCCAAUUUUGAGAAGAGUUUUCUUGUAUUUAGAGAGAGUUUAGAGAGCUUGAAAUUAUAAGCUCUUGUUUUAGUGUUUUGAGAGUUUGGGUGUAUUGGGGUUUUGGAAAGUGAGCUAAAAUACUACAAUACUUGUAACUCCUUUUCACUAAUAAAAUAUUUUCCUUCUGUCUUCACCUGUGGACGUAGACUAAAAGUCGAAUCACGUAAUUUCUGGUGUUCUCUUUUAUGCUUGUUCUUUAUUUUCUUCCAAUUUCAUUUUAGCUGCGGCCUGCUGCACCCAUCAAUUUCCUAACAGUGGUAUCAGAGCUAUUGGUUGUAUUUUUGGAGUUGGGUACUAUUCACGUGAAGGUACUAUUCACAUAUACGGUACUGUUCAUGUAUACGAUAUUAUUCACGUAUACGGUACUGUUCACGAUACGGUACUGUUCAUAUAUACGAUAUUAUUCACGUAUACGGUACUGUUCACGAUACGGUACUGUUCAUAUAUAGGCACUGUCCACGAAAAACAGUGGGAGCGAUCCAAGAAUUUUGCGGUGCAAAGCAAGGAAUAGUGGUGUGAGUAAAGCAAUUGUGUGAUUUUGUACAUGUCUAAGAAAGUUCUGUCACAAAGGCGAUAAGAACUUAAGAAGUCUGGGUUUUAAGUGGGACCAUUGUGACCCCUCCAGUCUUUCCUGGGAACUUUCCUAGUGUGCAUAUUCACACAUACUCACAACUAUUCGACGUGAUACACUAGUUUGUGUCUAAUAUUUAUCAACAAAAUGGCGGCAAAGUAUGAAAUUGAGAAGUUCAACGGGAAUAAUUUUUCGUUGUGGAAAAUGAAGAUGAAAGUUGUAUUAAAGAAAAAUAAUUGAUUGACAGCAAUUGGAGGAAGGCCCAUGGAGAUAACUAAUGACAAGUGGAACAAGAUAGAUGGCAACGCCAUUUCUGAUCUACACUUAGCACUUGCGAAUGAAUUAUUAUCUAGUAUGACAGAAAAAAAUACAGCGAAGGGAAUAGAGAUACUCUCACAAAAUUGUAUGAGACCAAGUCACUACACAACAAAAUUUUCUUGAAGAGAAAACUUUAUACUCUUCGAAUGGCGGAAUCUACAAUGGUGACCGAUCACAUCAAUACCUUAAAGACUCUAUUUUUACAACUCACAACGUUGGGUCAUAAUAUAGAGGAGAAUGAACGUCCAGAGCUUCUACUUUAAAGUCUACCAAAUUCGUAUGAUCAACUCAUCAUCAACCUGACGAACAACAAUCCAGCGGACAGUCUAGUUUUCAACGAUGUUGCAGCCUCCGUAUUAAAUGAAGAGAGCAGACGAAAAAAUAAGGAAAACAGACAAGCAAGUUCACAGCAAGCGAAGACGCUAUCGAUGACAAGAGGGAGAUCAACGGAACAUGGCCCCAGUGGGAGUCACAAUCAUGGUAGAUCAAAAUCGAGAAGUAAGAAGAAUGUUAAAUGCUACAACUGUGGCAAGAAAGGGCACGCCAAGAAAGAGUGUUGGAGUAACCAGAAGAGAAAAGAUGGCAAAGAUCCUAAAUCAUCAAAUGCUCAAGGAUGUGUAGCAAGUACCUCGGAUGAUGGCAAAAUUCUCUACAAUAAGAUAACAACUAUUUCAGAAGGUAGAAAAUAACUAUCUGAUGUAUGGCUUAUAGACUUAGGAGGUACCUGACACAUGACCUCUCGAAGAGAAUGGUUCCACACAUAUAAACCUAUCUUAGGAGAAUCUGUAUAUAUGGGUAACGAUCAUGCCUUGGAGAUCGUUGGUAUUGGUACUAUCAAAAUAAAAAUGUUUGAUGGUACAAUUCGCACAAUUGGGGAGGUACGACAUGUCAACGGCCUGAAGAAAAAUCUAUUGUCUUUGGGACAAAUGGAUAGUUAUGGGUACAAAACUCAUAUGGAGAAUGGAAUUAUGAAGAUCAUUAAAGGCGCGCUUAUAUUGAUGAAGGAAGAAAAGAUCGGUGCUAAUUUAUUCAUACUUAAAGGAGAAAUACUACAGGAGGCUGAUGUGUGUGUCGCGUCAAAUGGAGAAGAAUCAAUAAUGAUGUGGCACCUUAAACUUAACCAUAUGUCAGAAUAAGGUUUGAAAAUUCUCUCUGAGUGAAAAUUGCUUCUAGUGCUCAAAUCGGUAAGUUUACCAUUUUGCGAGCAUUGUGUUACAAGUAAGCAUCAUAGAUUAAAAUUUAGUAGAUCUAUUGCUAUAAGUAAAUGCAUUCUAGACUUGAUUCAUUCUGAUGUUUGGGAAUCACCGGAUAUGUCCAUGGGAGGUGCAAAGUACAUGGUGAUUUUCAUUGAUGAUUAUUCCAGGAGAUGUUAGGUGUAUCCAAUUAAGAAAAAGUCAGAUGUGUUUUCAGUGUUUAAAAAAUAUAAAGCGCGGGUGGAACUUGAAUCCGGUAAAAAGAUCAAGUGCUUGAGGACGGAUAAUGGUGAAAAGUAUACAGACGGUGAGUUUCUUGCUUUCUGUAAGUAAGAAGGUAUUCAGAGGCAGUUCAAUGUAGCAUAUACUCCUCAACAAAAUGGAGUGGCAGAGCGGAUGAACAGGACUCUUACAGAACGAAUAAGAGUUAUGUUGAGGACUGCGGCUCUACCUAAUUCAUUCUGAGCAGAAGCAGCCAAAACUGCAUGUUAUAUAGUAAAUCAGUCACCAUCUACAACUAUGAGGCUGAAGACAGCGAUGGAAAUGUGGAUUGGAAAGCCAGCUGAUUACUCAUACCUACAUGCAUUUGGAUGUCCUGUGUAUGUGAUCUACAAUGCCCAAGAAAGAACAAAGUUGGAUCCAAAAUGUAGAAGAUGUAUUUUCUUAGGGUAUGCUAAUGGAGUAAAGGGGCAUCGUCUGUGGGACCCCCACUGUCCACAAGAUCGUCAUCAGCAAAGAUGUUAUCUUUGUAGAAUAUCAACUAAAAAGGAGAGAUGAGGAUGAUAACACUAUAAAAGAAAAGUCAGAAACUGUACCGGUGUAUGUGAAAAAUAAUCUGGAAAAAGAAGAUUUAGAUUCUUCUGAAGUAGCACUAGAGCACGAGGGACAAGAACUAGUUGAGUCCGAGGCUCCAGAAGUUUGUCGGUCAACUGGUGAGAGACGACCGCCAACAUGGCACUCGGAGUAUGUCACAGAGAUCAACGUUGCAUACUGUCUUCUAACAGAGGAUGGAGAGCCAUUAACUUCCCAUGAAUCUUUAAACAGCUCAGAUGUUAUUUUGUGGAUGAUAGUAAUGAAGAAAGAAAUUGAAGCUCUACACAAGAACAAGACAUGGGAACUUGUACCACUACCAUAUGGAAGAAAAGCCAUUGGUAACAAAUGAGUCUACAAGAUCAAGCGUGAUGGCAAUGACUAAGUGGAGCAGUAUCGUGUCAGAUUGGUGGUGAAAAGAUAUGCUCACGAGAUAUUUUCUCCAGUAGUUCAACUCACAACAGUCAGAAUAAUCUUGGCAAUGUGUACUAUAUUUGACUUACAUCUUGAGCAGUUGGAUGUGAAAACUGCAUUUCUUCAUGGAGAACUUAAAGAAGAAAUUUAUAUGCUCUAACCAGAAGCUUUUGCUGAAAAGAAAAAUGAGAACUUGGUUUGUAGGUUGAACAAAUUUUUAUACGGUCUCAAACAAGCGCCGAUGUGUUGGUAUAAGAGAUUUGAUUCCUUCAUCAUGAGCCUUGGAUACAAUAGACUCAGUUCAGACCAUUGUGCAUAUUACAAAAGGUUUGAAGAUAAUGAUUUCAUUAUUUUGUUGUUGUAUGUGGAUGACAUGUUGGCAGCAGGCCCCAACAAAGAUCGAAUCCAAGAAUUGAAGGCAUAAUUGGCUAGGAAAUUUGAAAUAAAGGACUUGGGACCAGCAAACAAGAUUCUAGGGAUGCAAAUUCACCGAGACAGAAAUAACAUGAAGGUUUGACUUUCUCAGAAGAACUACUUGAAGAAAAUCUUGCGACGCUUCAACAUGCAAGAUUGUAAGUGAAUUUCUACCCCACUACCUGUUAAUUUCAAGUUAUCCUCAAGUAUGUGUCCUAGUAAUGAAGCAGAGAUGAAGGAGAUGUCUCGAGUACCGUAUGCAUCAACGGUGGGAAGUUUUGUGUUCGCUAUGAUAUGUAUUAGACCAGACAUUGUACAAGCAGUGGGAGCAGUUAGUCGAUACAUGACGAAUCCUGAUGGAGAGCAUUGGAUAACUGUGAAGAGGAUUCUGAGAUACAUCAAAGGAACCUCCGAUGUUGCAUUAUGUUAUGGAGGAUCAGAGUUUACUGUCAGGGGCUAUGUGAAUUAAGAUUUUACAGGAGAUCUUGAUAAAAGAAAAUCCACUAUUGGCUAUAUGUUUACAUUUGCAGGAGCAGCUGUAAGCUGGGUUUCAAAACUGUAAAUUAUUGUGGCCCUAUCUACAACAGAAGCAUAAUACAUGGCAGCUACACAAGCUUGCAAUGAAGCUAUUUGGAUACAAAGGUUAUUGGAGGAGCUCGGGCACAAACAACAGAAAACUCUUGUAUUUUGUGACAAUUAGAGUGCCUUGCAUAUUGCAAGGAAUCCAGCCUUUCAUUCCAGGACAAAGCACAUAAUGGUACAAUAUCACUUCGUUCGAGAAGUUGUGGAAGAUGGAAGUGUGGAAGAUGGAAGUGUGGAUUUACAGAAAAUCCAUACCAAGGAGAACCUAGCAGAUGUUUUGACCAAGCCAAUCAAUGCUGACAAGUUUAUCUGAAGUAGAUCCUCUUGUGGCCUAGCAGAAACAUAGGCAACAUGAUAAUGGCAAAGAAAAAAGGAUGGUGUGAAGAUUGAUUGGUUCUCAAUCAAAUCUCCAAGUAGGAGAAUGUCAAGAUUGAUAUCUCUUCUAGAUAAUCAAACUUCGAAUAUCAAAUUCAAAAUUCUAGAUAUUCAAAGUUUGAAUAUCAAACUUUGAACUUUGAAUUUUGAAAAAUAAUAAAUAAUUGAAAAAAAUACGUGAAUAGUAGCCAAGAUUUUGGCUAUAAAUAAAGGGGCUCAUUCCCUCGUUUGCUCAUCCAAUUUUGACAAGAGUUUUCUUUUAUUUAGAGAGAGUUUAGAGAGCUUGAAAUUAUAACUUCUUGUUUUAGUGUUUUAAGAGUUUGGGUGUAUUGGGAUUUUGGGAAGUGAACUAAAAUAGUACAAUACUUGUAACUCCUUUUCAUUAGUAAAAUAUUUUCCUUCUGCCUUCGCCCGUGGAUGUAGGCUAAAAGUCGAACCACGUAAUUUCUGGUGUCCUCUUUUAUGUUUGUUCUUUAUUUUCUUCCAAUUUCAUUUUAGCUGUGGCCCUGCUUCACUCAUCAAUUUCCUAACAAACUCGUAUUAAUGUGUACUUACUUCAUUCAAGAUAUUAGUGUUUUUCUCUCUUUUUUUCUAAAAAAAAAAUUGAAAUGCCCCUUUUCGCAUUUUAUAGGUGAAGAAGAAACAUAAUAUCGCAGGACUAGAAUAAAGGAGCCUAUUCUGGUACCUAUUGUCCAAGGAAGCUUCUGUGCAUUGAGUCGGCACUGCCAUGGCAGUCAAAUGUUACCAGAGCCAGGCGGAGUCGUUCCUAAAGGAAUAUAUAUUAGCAUAUCCAUUUGUCCCGUACACUUCAAUUGUCGAUAGCAUUUUUGUUUGCAAGAUGGUAUGUUUUUUGUCGUUACUGCGUGGUGGUAUUUACUAGAAAAUAUUUUGAAUGCAUAGUUUUUAUUUAAUUAGUUAUAAAAUUUGUAUACCCUCUGUUUUCCAUAAGAAUUUGUUCCUUUUCAGGUCUAUUAUCUUGCCAAAUUGAUUAGUGUUGUUCAAUUUAAAUGUUAUUCUAGUUUCUCCAACAUACAGUGGGUCGAGUGGAGUAACAGGUGAUUGAAUAUUUUCAUUUAGUUCAUUUUUCAUUUCCUUUUCAAUCGGUAAAGUUUAAUCAUUUUCUUAAAUCGACAACUGAUGCAGGGCCAUAUCAACCGCCCAUGCCAUUUUUAUAACAGCAAUGUCUUUGUACUUUGUGUUUUGGUGGGAUCUAAGAGUUUCUUGGAUAAACAAUUGUGUAUCCUAUGAUCUAGGCAUGGUCGUUUGGACUGAACUAGUUUUAAAUAAAUAAUUGCCCAAGGAUUUAGUCUCAGUGUUACAGCCCAGUCUUUGUUGUCCAUACUCUUUCGCCCAUCGUGGAUGAGUGCCAUAACAGCUUCUUAAUGUUUUGAAGUGGCUUUUGCACGGUUGCUGUUUCCUUCUGAAGCUAUAGAGUAGCUAUGGAUAUAGCAGAUGCAGAUGCCACCAAUUUUUAUACUGGCCUUAUGAAAAGGAUCAAGCGGGAACUUAAAAGGAGGUGGAUUUGAAUGAAACACCCUUUAUGCAAGCCAAGAGACUCCAAUUAAGCCUGCAAGCUCUGCUUAAAACAGGUAUUUAUAUACGUUAUUAGUUUUUGUACCUUUACAAUUAGUGAUUUUUGUAUCAAAAGAGAGGUUAAUUUUUAGUACACAGGGGCGGCUCUUCCUCUAGACAACUGCCUAGAGCCCCACUAUAGAUGAAGACCCUAAAUUUUUCUCUAACAUUAUAGCUAUUAAAUUAUUCAUUUAUUUUUAUUUUUAUUUUUAUUAUUCUAUAAUAAUCUUUGUUCAAAUAAAUUAUCAAGUCCCUACCAAAUCUCUUUUUAACAUUGGAAUAAGCAAUGUUAAUCCUAUUUACUCCUACAAAAUCUCUACUUAAUGUUAUUUCAUUUAAAACUCCAUAAAAGUCACACAUUUGUUAACUUGUUAUCCAUUAAUAUUUUUAUCCAUAAAAAGAAAAAGCACGAGACAUUCAAUGCUUCAAUUCAUAAGGAAAAAAAGAAGCUUUUUUAAUUUUUACUUAAGAAAAAAAUUAACUAUUUCCAUUGACCGUUGCUGUUUAAAACUUCAAUCCAUCGAAAUUAGAGUUUCAAAUAUCCAAGUUUUUUCUUCCUAUUCUCUUCUUAAUCAGUUGUGUUAUUCAAUUGUUAUUGUUUCUUUUUUAAAUAUUAUUGUUGUUUUCUUUUAAUUAUCCAGCAUAAUUGCUUACUUGUUUUCUCUUCUUUCACUAAAAAAGAAAAAAAUGUCUAAUAGAAAAUGUGCAUCAAGAUACAAAAAACUUGGGAAAACAAAAAGAGAAGAAUAAAAAAGUUAGUUCGAUCUAAAAAAUGAGCUCUUGAUAAGUUUGUCAAAAAUAGUAAAAAAAAGAUAUGAAUUAUAGUGAAGAAUUAGUGAUUGAUGAAAUUUUUCAAAAUUAAAAUUAAUAAAAAUUUAUUUAAGAUCAAAUAAGUCGCAAGAAAAGUUAAUGAUUUAGCUAUAUUGAGAAGAAUGUAUUAGCGAAAUUAGAAAUAAAAAUUUGAGCAAUAAUUUUGCACCUAAGAAAGCUAGAAAAUUUGAUUUUAAAUAAAUAACUUUUUAGUAAAACAAAUACAUAUAUUUGACCUCAAAUUUUUUAAAAAGCCUAAUUAAAGCAAUUCAUCUAAGGCCCCAAAAUUAGUUGAGCCGCCCCUAUUAGUACAUUGAUAUCUCAACAAAAUGUUAGAACCUUUGUAGCACUAGAGACAUUUUCUUAGAGCAUUUACUGACCUUUCUAUGAUUGUAGUGGAGACAGGUCGACGCUACUUCCCUCAUUGCUCAGAAGUGGUUGAUAAGUUUUUGGAUUGUGAUUGGUCCGAUUCUUCCCUCCUAGAAAAGGGUACUCCUGAAGAGCAGAAACUCAAAAGGGCACGCUUCAUGGAACUUAAAGAAGACCUGAAGAAGGCAUUUUACAAGGACAUGGCUGAGAAAAAUCCGUCAGGUCUGUCGUCAUCUUCUCCGAAGGAAGGAGUAAAGUGUAAGGGUAGGCAAAGGUGAUGCUUAGCUGCUUGUCUUUGUUAUUCAUUUAUAGGCAACUAAAAGUGUUUUAGUGAGUUUGAUUGUUACUUGUAGAGAGAUACUCUUAGGGCCUAUGUUAUGGUUAUGUUGUAUAAUAGCAGAGAAACUUUAAGCAUGCAUUGUUGUAUUUUCCCAGAUAUUUGGCUUGUAAUACACCAAAUGACAAAGAAUUUUCUAUUUUUAGAGGGGAAAGUUAUGUCAGUUAAUUAUUUAUUUAUUUUGUCUGUCUAAUUCAGUUUACAUAGCUUUUUUUUUUUUUUUCCUUUCCAAAAGAAUCUGCAUAUCUUCAUCUGCAAUUUAAGUCAUUGGUAACUUCUUUCAAGGAGGAAGGGAAAAAAAAGCAUUUGUAAGUAUAUUUUACAGUACUGAUUUUCCUAAAAAAUUGGUUAAGGUGACAUUAAUGUUCUUUGAAAUAGAUAGAUAUGCAGAAUCUUCAUCGAAAUUGAAAUUAGAAAUGGAUGGAUAUGAGUGACUUAUAUUAAGAAUUUUUUAGUAGAAUGCUUAUACAAAAAUUUGUAGCUCAUUACUCUCUAGAAGGAAAAUAAAUUUUAGAUUGUAAAUAUUAAAUAUUAAAUUUAUAAUAUAAUAAAUGUGUGACUUAAGGUGUACAAUACCCAUAUAAUAAUCAUUAAGAAAAGAAAAAUCAAAUUUUGUAAAUUACCAAUUUUCUCUUGAAAUUUGAUAUUCUAUAUUAACGUAGGUGUUGCAUGGAGUGGGCUAGUACAACUGAAAGAAACUAACUAAAGUAAAACAAAAUAUCAGAAAAAUACGACGAGCUUCUCAUAUUUUUCAAGUAAAAAAAAAACUAAAAUUAAUUAUUUUUACAACCAAAUUCUGAUGCUUGAAGGUUGCUGGAAUUGACCAUUGUAAUUUUGUCAUCCUCGUUAUUCGCUGGCCAUCGUAGCCUUCCUCCAUUAAAAUGAGAGUUGUUUUUCGAACCACGACGUAAUAAAAAUAAUAUCGAUUAAUACUAAUAAAUCUAUUUUGAUUAUUUUGUAGUGUGAUGGUCUAGAAAGUAUCAGGACUUAUCCUAGCAUCCGAACAUGUGAUAAAAUUAUGCGAGUCUCUAUAAAAUACUAUUUAAAUUGUGUAUUAACUAGACAGUUCUAUGUAGAUAUUUCGUAUAUAUUUAUGGUAAUUGUUGAAAAAAAGAACGUAAAAUGAGAUUAAUGAACAUUCAUAAAUGUGGAAAUUAACACAACUAAGAUUUAUGAUGAAAUAAUUUUAUGUCAAAUGAGUGUAAGUGAAUGGAUGUUAAAAUAACUUGUAAUAUAUAUUUUUUGAACUGUUAUUUACACAAGUUUGUCACCAACAGUAAAUUAAAUUAUGAAUAUUUCAAUAAUUCAAGAUCUCAUUCGAUGUUUAUAGUAUUUGUCAGAGUACAAAAUUGUAAAUGGUCUCACCCUUCAUAGUAUAAUGCUAAACCUUUUCAAAAAUUUAUUCUAUUAUAGACGUAUUAGUCAGUUAUAUUAGAUUAUAGACGAAAUUGAAGAUAAAAAUAGUACUCCAUCUAUCAUACAUUACUUUCAAUUUUUUUUGUCAAAUUAUGAGCUGGUGAAAGGAUGCAACAAAUUACGUCAAACAUUGUAAAAUUUAUCAAUCACUAAAUAAAUAUCAUGUUAUAUGUGUGUGUGUGUGUCUCUCUCUCUAUCUAUCGAUAUAUAUAUAUAGGGGUGGGCAUAAACCCACAACCCAUGGGUUUAUCCAAACUCAAACCAAAUUAAAUGGUUUGGGUUGGGUAAAUCAUUAAAAUGGGUUAGAUGUGGGUUUUAUGUAGAAAACCAUUUCAUUAUGGUUUGGGUAUGGUUUACCCAUGGGUUAUGGACAAAACCCCAACACUCAAAUUUUCAAAUGAAAUAAAUGAAAACAAAAUAAAUGAACACAAAUAAGUGAAAAACCACCAUUAAAUUUUUUACAGCGUGAUCAAUUGUCAACAGUUAGAAAAUGAAAAUAACAGUAAAAAUAAAUUUAAAUUAAAUAAAUAUUGUUGUAAAUAACAUAAAUUUUUUUUCUUAUUUACAAAAAUAAUUCCUCCCACAUGGAAGGAUCAUCAUAGAAAGAGCAGGAGACUCUACUAAUGAUCAAUAAUAACUCGGCUUAGACUGGGUCCGAUAUGCUAGAUGGCGGCUAAUUUUUUGUCAAUAAUUGAAUGUAAUGCCCAUAUUAAGUAUUAAAACAAGAAAUAUAUGUUUUGAUAUGAGCAGAAAAAUUAAUAAUAAAAUUUUUUCUUGUAAUUAUUUAUUUUGUGAACAUUUUCUUAUAAUAAAUAUUUUGUAAUAUUUUAAAAUUAAAUGUAAAAAGUAUAGGUAAAAUAUUUUAUUAUUUAUCUUAUAAUAAAUUUUUAUUUGUCAAUCAAGUUUUCUUAUAAUAAUUUUUUUAUCAUUUGACUAAUAAUUUUCUUAUAUAUUUAUUAUAAGAAAAUUUUCACAAAAUAAAUAAGUAUAAAAAAAUUUUAUUAUUAAUUUUUUUGUUCAUAUCAAAACAUAUAUUUCUUAUUUUUAAUGUUUUAUUUUUUAUUUAGUUUCUAUUCAUGUGAUUUAUUUAAUUUAGAAUAAAUAUAAAUAAAAGAGUAGUUGAAAAUAAGGGUAAUAUUGUAAACGUAUACUAUUAGAGGAGUUUUUGGCCAUUAUAAAAGCAGAAGGGGGAAAAAUAAUAUAUAUUGAUUACUGUAGGGGGGAAACUGACAAUCUCCCUAAAAUUAAACAUAUAAGUAGACAAUAUAACGCAAAACUACCAAAACGAUAAAUAAAAACAAAUAUUGCAUAAUUAAAUAAAUAACAAGUGGUAAAAUUUAUUAUUAAAUUGUUAAUGUCAUGUUUGUGAAAGUUUAUUAUUAAAGUGUACUUUCUUAUUUAUUGAGAAAUAAUAAUUUUUGUGAUUAAACUUUAUUUUGAUUUUCUAGUAUUCUUUAAUUUAAGGAUUAAGUUUUUGUAAAAUUUAUAAUUUUUAUCCACUAUAUUUUUUUAUAUUUUAAUAUUAAUUUAAUAAUUAAUAACAAUUAAUAAUUAUUAUAAUUUUGAUAUAAUUAAAUUUUAUUAAAAUAAAAACUAUUUUGAUAAUAAAAUUCAAACCAAACCCAAACCAAACCCAAAUGGUUUGGUUUGGUUUGGGUUAAAAAUAUUUGGGUUGGUUUGGGUUGGAUCCAAAUUUUUAUGGUUUGGUUUGGGUUGACUUAAAAUCCAACCCAAACCAACCCAUGCCCACCCCUAUAUAUAUAUAUAUAUAUAUAUAUAUAUAUAUAUAUAUAUAUAUUAUACAAAAUCUGAUUCUCAUGAACUAAAAGGACAGGCUUUGGAUGAUGUAUCAUACUCAAAAAUCUAUUUUUAUUAAUGAUUAUACUAACAUUUAAAGGUGUCUGUAAGCUAUAUUAUAUAUUUACUAAUUACUGUUAAGCUUACACUGCUUCCUUCUCAGAAAAUCAUCUUUUGGCUUUUUCUAUUUUUAUGCUUUUUAAAAGUUUUUUCAAGAUUUUUUUUUUAUUGCUUUACCAAGUGGGCAGUUAAAAAAUCUUUUUUUUUUUUUUUUUGUGUGUUGCUUUUGAUAGAAACAUAUGAUUCACCUCUGUUUCUUCGAUGCUUGCUUGCUUCAUGAUUGGUCAACUUGGGUCAAACUUUCAUCUUUAAAUCACAUAGGUAGAUCAUGAUUCAAGCUUCAGUUAUAAGCCUUUCAUUGUGACUGAUAUCAUUCUUUCUUGAUGUACAUAUAUAUAUAGAUUCAGUUUGAAUGUGGUCCUUGAUAGUUUCAUGGAAAAUGCAAACGAAAUGUCAGCAUCUUUGAGUUUUGUCUCAUCAUAUCCGUCUAGUUGGUCUACUAAUCAACCAACAGGCUCUGAAACUUGCUCUGAUCUUGAUAAUUUGAACUUAAGGAGGCAAAGCAGCAAUCCUGAAGAGCCAUUGCUUGAUGCUGAGAUUGUUGUUGAGGGCAAAUCAGUGGCAGUUAAUCGCUGCAUAUUGUCUGCACACAGUCAAUUUCUUCAUUGGCUAUUUAAUUUGAGAAAUGAUGGUUCUGUGAGUGAGGGGAAACCCAAGUAUCUUAUGACUGAUUUGGUGCCUUAUGGGAAGGUUGGAUAUGAAGCUUUCAAUGAUAUCUUGCAUUAUCUUUACACUGGGAAGGUUAAGCCAUCUCCUCUAGUAGUGUCCACGUGUGUUGACGAUGCUUGUGCUCAUGAUGCUUGCCCUCCUGCUGUCAAUUAUGCUAUUGAGUUGAUGUAUGCUUCUGCUGCUUUUCAGAUGAAAGAACUCGUUUUGCUUUUGCAGGUAAUUGUGCUUCCCUGCUAUUUGUAUUGCUUAAAUUUAUGCUUCUUGGUAUAGUUUUAACAUUUCGGUAUAGUUUUAACAUUUAUGGAAUUGAAAUCAAUUUCAAUUGUGCGAAAGCAAGUAAAUGUGAAGCAACUUCAGUGAUUCGCAAUAUUAGUCAUCGCAGGAGAUCCAAAAUUUGUAGAUACUGUAGAAUUGUAGAGCCCAAAACUUCAUCUUAUCUUGCAAGAGUUUGUUGUUUUAUUUUCAAAUAGACAAAAAAAAAAUGAUGAUGGGCAGCGAACUCUAGGGAUCAAUGCUUGCUGACCCUGACACCCAAUGCUUGAUGUCUAGCUUGCUUAUUUUUCCAACAAUGACACUACCUUUCUAGUAAAUGAAAUAUUAUUCUACAUCUAUGUAUUGGAACUUUGACAAACUUCGGUUUUCCUUUGUUGAUUCACUGGUCUCACUUUUAUUCAAUUGCCCGAUUAUGAAAUGGUCUAUUGGAGACUAGAAAUGGAAGGUUUCUUGUGGAAAAAGUUUUACUUGACCACCGAUUUUCAUUUUGGUGGGUGUCAGCGCAUGCUCUGGCUUGACUAUUCUGUUAUUUAGGCUGUUUUAUCUGAUCUUCUCACUCACUUGAUAGUUAGUUCUCUCAUGCUUCCAAGCUCAAAGAUUAAUGCAAGAGAUUCUCUUUUUCCCCUCUAGACUAUAACCUAUCAAAUCAUUAAUGCUAUAGAAUAACAUCUUGUGUAGGCGGGCUUAUGUCUCUGAACAUUUGUCCAUCGGCAUUUGCAAUAAGCAUGGCCCUGAUUUUUCGUCUCAUUAUUAUUUUCCUACCCAGAUUGUCCCCUUUAAGUAGCAUAUUGAAGGAGAGCAACAUUCUUAUAUAUGUUUUAUGAUGUUUACCAAUAAUUACCCACCACGGGGUAUUUAAAUUUUGAAUGUAUUAUUCUGACUCAAAACUCUAUCUGUCGGUGUAGCUUCAGCUUCUGAACUUUGUUGAGAAGGCUGUUGUGGAAGAUGUAAUCCCAAUCCUUGUGGCUGCCUUGCAUUGCCACCUGAACCAGCUUCGUUCUCUCUGCAUCCAGAGAGUUGUAAGGUCAAAUCUUGACAAUAUAUAUCUCGAGAAAGAGCUUCCUGAGGAAGUUUCAAGUGAAAUCAAAUCAAUCCGCAUCAAAUUUCACCAGGAGUCCGAAGAUAAUGCAGCAGAAGUAGACCCUGUGCAUGCAAAAAGAGUCAGAAGAAUCCACAAGGCACUGGACUCUUAUGAUUUUGAACUGCUGAAUCUUCUUCUGAAUGAAUAUGAAGUCACUUUAGAUGAUGCUUAUGCUCUGCACUAUGCCGCUGCCUACUGCAGCCCUAAUGUUUUUGUGGAAGUGCUCAGUAUGGGCUUGGCUGAUCUCAAUCUUAAGGAUGCAAGAGGUCAUACGGUGCUUCAUGUGGCUGCACUGCGUAAGGAGCCAGCAGUGCUGCUGGCCCUGCUGAGCAAGGGAGCAUGCGCAUCAGAAACUACAUCAGAUGGACAAACAGCUGUAGCAAUCUGUCGGAGAAUGACAAGGCGAAAGGAUUAUAUUGAAGCUUCGAAGCAGGGGCAGGAAAUUAACAAAGACCGGUUAUGCAUUGAUGUCCUAGACAACUUCAUGUCUGGGAACUUGACAAUGUCAUCCGAGGUGAUGGAUGAUGAUUUCCAAAUGCAGCUGAACAAUCUGGGAAAUAGAGGUGAUAUUCCUUUAUUGGUAUUAGUAAAUCAUCUUCUCAGAGUUUGUGUGUUCCUUCAUCUUAGCAUGUCAAACACACAUGGGCUCAUUGCUUGGGGCCAGUCAUGUGAUUUUUUCCACUUUUUUCGAAUAGACAAUUGUGAAUCCAUUUGAUCUACGUUUGGUGGUUUGCACUGAACUAGUUUUUGAUAAAUAAUUGUACAAGACUUUGUCAUCAAAACUAUUUCAUUUCCAAAAGUAAUGAGGGACAAAAAAAUUUAUGCCUAUCCUGGAUGAGUGCCAUAACAGCUUCUUAAUAUUUUGCAGUGGCUUUUGCACGGUUGUUGUUUCCUUCUGAAGCUAUAAUAGCUAUUCGUAUAGCAGGUGCAGAUACCACCAAUUUUAAUACUGGCCUUUCAGCAUUAAAUCCUAUAGGACUGAGUUGGAACUUGAAGGAGGUUGAUUUGAGUGAAACGCCUUUGCAAACUCUGCUUAAAACAAGUGUUUAUGUACUUUAUUAACUUUUACACCUUUCUAUUUACUGAUUAUCUUUAUAAUUAAAUAAUACAUGUAUCAAGGUUUCUCCUUACAUUUCAUUAGAAGUGAAUUGGAAUCUCUUCAUGGUGCUCUGUUAGGUGUAAUGAGAUGUAGCAAAAGAGAAAGGGUAAUUGUUAGUGCAUUGAUAUCUCAACAGAAUGGUAGAACCUUUCUUUAUAUCACUAGAGACAUUUGUUGUAGGGAUGCCUCCAUAAUCAGUGUGCUUUAAAACUUUCCAGGAGUUAGCUACGCCUACCUCCGGACCUAAGGCGUGACACACAGACCCAAUUAGUGCCUAAAACACAUAUCGAAUCUGAGCAAAACUAAAUGCUUGUAAAUCCAAAUCUCCAAAAUAUCAAAAGCUCAUCUACUUUCUCUUUUCAUGGAUUUCACCAAAUGUUUUUAAAAAUUCAUUCUCAAUCAUAAACUAUGCGCAUCUAAAUAAUCACCAUAUCAAUAUACAACAAUACUUCCUCAUAAGCAAAUAAAUCUUACAUUCCUCUUCUUACAUGAUUUAAAAAAAAAAAAACUUUUAGAAGUCCCCUAAAUACGAACAUAAACAGAAUUCAGCUGCUAAAACUAUGCAAACACAAGCUUCAAUCAGUAAUACAUACGACUAAUUAUUAAAACAUCUAGCUAGAAGCCUUACAGAAGCUCAAUCCUUCCGAAGCUUGUUUCCAAAGAACCUUCAAAUUAAUAAUCGCUACUAUCUGCGAAAAAUAAUUGAUAAUGGGGCAGUUGUUAAUAAGUAAUUAAGUAGAACCAUUCAUAACGAACGAAAAGAAUUCUUUGCGCAAUAUUUUCAGAAAAUUCAUUUAACUUUUCAAAUGAAUCAGAGUAAUUUUUCAAACGCAGUCAGGAUUUGUGUCAACAUAAACGUUUGAGACAGAAGCUUUUUGGAACAUAAAUUUUGCUUUUAAUAUAAAGUUAUACGUUGGUUUGAUUUUAAAGGGAGGUUAUUGGGAAGUUAAAAUGCACAGUUGUGGUAACAGGGUAAUAGCAGUUAUAAAAUCUCUUUUAAAACAAAUUCGAAUCAAGUUUCAAAUUUAGGAAGUAUUUAAUUCAAUAAAAUAAAGAAUAAAUAAAGUUUUCGUUGAAGCGAAACUAAGUAGAUUCAUUUAAAGCAAAACAGGAUGCGAGAAUUACAUAAGGGUUCUUGACCCUACCAUGCAGUCAGAUAUCUGGCACCUUGUUAGCACUUGAUUGUGCCAUGUUCUCCACAGCCAGAUAUCUUGUUCUUCAUUAUUUCCUAGACAUCUUUGGAUAAGGAACCCUAAGCCUAUUGAGAAUAAAUUCUGUAAACCAAGACUCUCUUCAGUUCUUUCAUUUGUGGCUAAUUAGUUAUAAGAUUUGUGAAUUUCCUGCCCCAUGGCCCCUGCAAAAUGCAUUUUAUAUCCUUAAGAUGCCAAUGGUUGAAUUGAAAUACUAAAAACCGGAAAACAGACUUAAUGAGAUGUUUAGAAUUUUCUUAGAGCAUUUGCUGAACUUUUUGUGAUCGCAGUCGAGAGGGGUCGACGCUACUUCCCUCAUUGCUCAGAGGUGGUUGAUAAGUUUUUGGAUUGUGAUUGGCUCGAUGCUUCCCUUCUAGAAUCAGAUGCUCUGGAAGAGCAGAAACUUAAAAGGGCACGCUUAAUAGAACUUGAAGAAGAUGUGCAGGAGGCAUUCUGCAAGGACAUGGCUUAUGACAAUCGUUCAGGGCUGCCAUCCUCCUCGUCGGCAUUUUACGAUUACAUGGCUGAGAACAAUCGUUCAGGCAUGCCGACAUCCUCCGCAUCGAGCAAUUAAGCAUCACCUUUUCCAGGAAGUGAUACUUCGACGCCCGGGAAACUAGAAGAGUUUAGUGAGCUCGACUGGUACUUGAGAGAUGGUCAGAGCCUAUGUUAUGGCUAUGUAUUGUCUAGUAGCAGAGAAUAUAUUAAUGAAUGAUGGAUGACUUUCUUGUGACUCUUUGAUGCAAUCAUGUAACGAUUUGAGUAAUGCUAACAUUAUCUCAUAUAUAUAUAUAUAUAUAUAUAUAUAUAUUUUUUUUUUUUUUUUUUUGAGUGAUCUGACAUUCAUCAAUUAGAUUGUAAAAUUAUUAUAUUGUUUCAAGUCCAGUGAGACACAACUUAUAACAUUGAUGGAAUGAAUCGCAUUAUUCAUAAACUCAUUUCAUAAAAUAUUUUUAUAUAAAAUUGUAUAAUUUAUAGGCUAUGCUUAAAAAGUUAAGAAAAAAAAAAAGGGUGUACUACAAUUGGGAUGAGGCAUGCAUGAGUAGUCACAUUAGUUGCUGAACAAACUUUGCCUUUUUAAUUUUGGAUACAUUACUAUCUCAAAUUUUCUAUUAUCAGUAAAUGAGAUUAAGAUAAUCUUUUUUUUUAAAAAAAAAAAAAGAGAGCUGGAGAUUCUUUUUUCCUUAAAAAAAUGAAGAAAAAUUUAGAAAGUUGUGAGAGGGGGAGAAAUAAAGUAAUUAUAUUCACAAAUAUAAUGUGUUUAAGGUGUAUUUGGCACACUGUAUUGUAUUAUGCCGUAUUGCAUUAUUUUAAUGCAGGUGUAUUGUAUUAUUAUGUAUUGUUUUAGCACUGUAUUAUAAUAAUGUUAUACAACGUUUGGUGCUACACUGUACUGUAUUAAUUUUUUGUGAUUAACUUAAAUAAUAUAUUUAGAAAAUAAUAUUUAUUAGUACCUAGAAAAAUACUAAAUAUAUAAGUCUUAAAUUUUAAAAAUUUAACAUUAUUUUUUAGUAUAGAUGUUAAAAAAUAUCACAAUUUUUUGUAAAGAUCGAAACUUAUAGCCUUAUAUUUUUGACAAUGUAACAUUGAUUUUUCAGUAUUUCCUAAAUAUAUAACAUGUGAAAUAAAGAUCGAAGUAAAUAAUUUAAUCAAAUAAUCUCUAAAUAAUAUCAUAACUUAAUGAUAUUUUAUGUUAUUAUUUUUAUUGGUAUUAAUUUUAAAUUAAUAUUAUUUAAAUUUAUUCAUACAUAAAUAUUUAUUGUUAGUUAUAUUAAAUUUUUAAAUAAUAAUCAAUUUUUAUAUAUUAAUUAUUAUAAAAUUAAAUAAUGCAUUAUUUAGUUAUAUUUUUAAUAUAAUGAAAAUUAAAAUAUGAAUAAUAAAUAAUAAAAUUAUUAAUUUAUUUCAAUAAUUAUGAUGUGAACAGUGUUAUAAUAUACUAUAAUCACAUGCACCAAACACACCCUUAAUGCGGCAAUACAAACUAAUAAAUUAUAAUUUAUAAGAUUAGUUUAUAGAAUCUUACAUAUAAAAUUAUAUCCUCUAAAUAAAAAUAUUCACACCUGUUUUGACUUCUCAUUUAGAUGUUCUUUCUAAAGUCCCUCUAGCGAUAAACACAUUUUUAUAAAACAAAACAGAAAAAAUUAUAUAUAAUUGUUCAUAAGGACUAUUUGUACAUAGUACACAAUUGGCCACUAAAAUUAUUUGAGGAGAAAAGUUAUAUGAGAUGGAUUCAUCAUAUUAUCAGUAUUUAUUAGCAGAUCCAUUUGUCUCGUACACUUCAAUUGUUGGUAGCAUUUUUGUUUGCAAGAUGGUAUGUUUUUCGUCGUUACUGCGAGGUAGUAUUUACUAGAAAAUAUUUUGAAUGCAUAGUUUUUAUUUAAUUAGUUAUAAAAUUUUUAUACCCUCCGUUUUCCAUAAGAAUGUGUUCCUUUUCAGGUAUUCAUAUGCCUUAUUAGUUUUUGUACCUUUACAAUUAGUGAUUUUUUUAUCAAAAGAGAGAGGUUAAAUUUUAGUACAUUGAUAUCUCAGCAAAAUAUUAGAACCUUUGCACCACCAGAGAUAAUUUCUUAGAUCAUUUACUGAGCUUUCUAUGAUUGCAGUUGAGACGGGUCGACGCUACUUCCCUCAUUGCUCGUUUUUGGACUGUGAUUGGUCUGAUGCUUCCCUCCUAGAAAAUGGUACUCCUGAAGAGCAGAGACUCAAAAGGGCACGCUUCAUGGAACUUAAAGAAGACGUACAGAAGGCAUUUUACAAGGACAUGGCUGAGAAAAAUCGUUUAGGUUUGUCGUCUUCUCCAAAGGAAGGAGUAAAGUGUAAGGGUAGGAAAAGGUGAUGCUUAGCUACUUGUCUUUUGUUAUUCAUUGCUAGGAGACUAAGAGAGUUUUACUGAUUUUGAUUGUUACUUGUAGAGAGAUACUCUUAGAGCCUAUGUUAUGGCUUAUGUUGUAUAAUAGCAGAGGAACUUCAAGCUUGCAUUGUUGUAUUUUCCCAGGUAUUUGGCAUGUAAUAUAUACUAAAUGACAAAGAAUUUUCUAAUUUUAGAGGGAAAAAAUAUGUCAGUAAAUUAUUUGUUUAUUUUAUCUGUUUAAUUCAGUGUAUAAUAUAGCUUCUUUUUUAAAAAAAAAAAAUCUCCAUAUCUUCAUCUGCAAACUCAGUCAUGUGCAACUUCUUUCAGGGAGAAAAGAGGGAAAAAAAAAGGCAUUUGUACCUGUAUUUUACAGUAGUGACCCUCAUACAGAAAUUGGUUAAGAUGGCAUUAAUGCUCUUUGAAAUAAAUAGAUAUGCAGAAUUUUCAUCGAAAUUGAAAUUAGAAAUGGAUGGAUAUGAAUGAUAUAUAUGCAGAAUUUUUAACAGAAUUUUUAUACAAAAAUUUGUAGCUAAUUACUCCCCGAAGAAAAAUUUUCAAUUGUAGAUAUUAAAUUUUAAAUUUAUACUAUAAUAAAUGUGACUUAAGUUGCACAGCACCCAUAUAAUAAUAAUAAUUAAGAAAAGAAAAUUUAAAUUUUGUAAAUUACCAAUUUUUUAAAAUUAAUUAUUUUUAUACCCAAAUUCUCAUGCUCGACGGCCGCUGGAAUUGGCUAUUGUAAUUUUGUCAUCCUCAUUAUUCACUGGCCAUUUUUGGACCACGACAUAAUAGAAAUGACAUAGAUUAAUACUAAUAAAUUUCUUUUGAUUAUUUUGUAGUGUGAUGAUCUAGUGAGUAUCAGUGUCCAUCAUAGCACCUGAACAUAUGAUAAAAUUUGUGAUUUUCUGUAAAAUAGUAUUUAAAUUGUGUAUUAACUAGACAACUCUAUGUAGACCACCGCUCACUAAAUCAUUACUUUAUUUUGUAUAUGUUUAUGACAAUUGUUGAAGAAAAAUAUAAAGUGAGAUUAAUGAACAUUCAUGAAUGUGGGAAAUUAACACAACUAGGAUUUAUGAUGAAAUAAUUUUAUGUCAAAUGAGUGUAAGUGAAUGGAUGUUAAAAAAACAUGUAUAUAUUUUUGAAUUGUUAUAUAUACAAGUUUGUCACUAACAGUAAAUUAAAUUACGAAUAUUUUAAUAAUUUAAAAUCUCAUUCAACCAUAGCUAUUUAUAGUGUUAUUUGGAGUACCAAAUUGUAAAUAGUCUCACUCCUAAUAGUAUAAUGCUAAACAUUUUCAAAAAUUUAUUUUAUUAUAAUCGUCUUAGUCGGUUAUAUUUAUAUCCAAAUUGAAGAUUAAAAUAGUACUUUAUAUAUCAUACAUUACUAAAAGAAUUUUUUUUUCUUAAUCACGUCUAAAAUUGUAAAAUUCAUCAAUCAUCAAAUAAAUUAAAUAUCAUGUCUCCUGGGCUUAAAAUAUAGGCUUUGAAUGAUGUAUCGUACUCAAAAAUCUAUUUUUAAUUAAUUAUUAUAGGAACGUUUAAAUGUAUCUCUAAGCUAUAUUAUAUAGUUGCUAAUUACUAUUAAGCUUGCACUUCUUCCUCCUCAGAAAAGCAUCUUUUGGCUUUUUCUAUUUUUAUGCUUUUUUGGAAAUUUUUUUUUCAAGAUAUUUUUUUAUUGCUUUACCUAGUGGGCAAUUAAAAAAUCUAUAUAUAUAUAUAUAUAUAUAUAUAUAUAUAUAUAUUUUUUUUUUUUUUUUUGCUUUUGAUAGAAACAUAUGAUUCCCCUCUGUUUCUUUGAUGCCUGCUUGCUUCAUGACGGGUGAACUUGGGUCAAACUUUCAUCUUUAAAUCACAUAGGUAGAUCACGAUUCAAGCUUCAGUUAUAAGCCUUUCAUUCUUUCUUGAUAUAUAUAUAUAUAUAGAUUCAGUUUGAAUAUGGUUCUUCAUAGUAUCACGGAAAAUGCAAACGAAAAGUCAGCAUCUUUGAGUUUUGCCUCAUCGUAUUCGACUUGUUGGUCUACUAAUCAAUCAACAGGCCCUGAAAUUUGCUCUGAUCUUGAUAAUUUGAACUUAAGGAAGCAAAGCAGCAAUCCUGAAGAGCCAUGGCUUGACGCUGAGAUUGUUGUUGAGGGCAAAUCAGUGGCAGUUAAUCGCAGCAUAUUGUCUGCGCACAGUCAAUUUCUUCAUCGGCUUUUUAAUUUGAGAAAUGAUGGUUCUGUGAGUGAGGGGAAACCCAAGUAUCUUAUGACUGAUUUGGUGCCUUAUGAUCGGAAGUUUGGAUUUGAAGCUUUCAAUGAAAUCUUGUAUUAUCUUUACACUGGAAUGAUUAAGGAAUCUCCUUCAGAAGUGUCCACGUGUGUUCAUGAUGCUUGUGUUCAUAGUACUUGCCCCCCUGCUAUUAAUUAUGCUAUUGAGUUGAUUUAUGCUUCUGUUGCUUUUCAGAUGACAGAGCUCGUUUCGGUUUUUCAGGUAAUUGCGCUUCCCCGCUAUUUGUAUUGCUUAAAUUUAUGCUUCUUCGUAUAGUUUUAACAUAUAUGGGAUUGAAAUCAAUUUCAGUUGUCACUUGCAAAGACCCAAAGAAUCGAAGCAAGUAAAUGCGAAGCAACUUCGAUGGUUCGCAAUAUUAGGCAUUGUAGUAGAUCCAAAAUUAGCUUGUUAAAAGUGUAGAGAGCCCAAAACUUCGUCUUAUCUUGCAAGAGUCUGUUGUUUUAUUUUGACAGAGACAAAAAUGAUGAUGAUGGGCAGCAAACUCUAGGAAUCAAUGCUUGCUGACACUGACACCCAAGAAUGAUAACAACUAACCAAAAAGGUAUAGAUUACAUGAGUCUGAAUUUGAUAGGUGCACCUAUCCUAUCGCAAAAAGCUUUUGCGUUGAGUUUCUAACCAAGGAAAAUUGUCACUUCUGUCUGUAGGCUUCAUAGAUUUGUUCAAGCCUUCAAGGAUGUCUAGCUGUUACUUACUGUCCAACAACGGCGCUACAUUUCUAGUGAAUGAUAUGUUAUUCUACCUCUGCAUAUUGGAACUUUGACAAACUUCGCCUUUCCUUUAGUUGAUUCACUCGUCUCACUUUUAGUAAAUUGCCUGAUUAUGAAAUGGUCUAUUGGAGACUAGCAUUGGAAGGUUUCUUCUAGAAAAAAUUUUACUUGACCACCAAUUUUCAUUUCGGUGGGUGUCAGUUCAUGUUCUGGCUUGACUGUUCUGUUAUUUAGGUUGUUUUAUCCGUAUUUUCUCACUCACUUGACAGUUAGUUCUCUCAAGCUUUCAAGCUCAACAGUGAAUGCGAGAGAUUCUCUUUUUCCUGUCCAGGUUAUAGCCUAGCAAAUCAUUAAUGCUUUAGAAUAACAUGUUGGGUAGGUUAGCUUAUGUCUCUGAACAUUGGUCCAUCGGCAUUUAGGUUUGAUAAGCAUGACACUGAUUUUCCGCCUCAUUAUUAUUUUCCUGCACAGAUUAUCCCCUUUAAGUAUUUGAAUUUUGAAUAUAUUAUUCUGAAUCAAAACUCUAUUUGUCCGUGUAGCAUUUUAUAUAUGCUUUAUUAUGUUUACCAAUAAUUACCCACUAUGGGGCAUUUGAAUUUUGAAUAUGUUAUUCUCAAUCAAAGCUCUAUCUGUCCAUGUAGCUUUGGCUUCUGGAAGUGGUUGAGAAGGCUCUUGUGGAAGAUGUAAUCCCAACUCUUGUGGCUGCCUUGCAUUGCCAACUGAACCAGCUCCGUUCUUACUGGAUCCAGAGAAUUGCAAGGUCAAAUCUUGACAAUGUUUGUCUCGAGAAAGAGCUUCCUGAUGAAGUUUCAAGUGAAAUCAAAUCACUCCGUGUCAAAUCUAACCAGGAGUCUGAAGCUAAUAUAGCAGAAGUGAAUCCUAUAAAUGCAAAAGUAGUUAGAGGAAUCCACAGGGCACUGGACUCUGGUGACGUUGAACUGUUGAAGCUUCUUCUGGAUGUAUCUAAUGUCACUUUGGAUGAUGCUUAUGCUCUGCACUAUGCUGCUGCCUACUGCAACCCUAUGGGUUUUAAGGAAGUGCUCAAUAUGGGCUUGGCUGAUCUCAAUCUUAAGGAUGCAAGAGGACGUACGGUGCUUCAUGUAGCUGCAAGGCAUAAGGAGCCAGCAGUGAUGGUGGCCCUGCUGAGCAAGGGAGCAUGCGCAUCAGAAACUACAUCAGAUGGGCAAACAGCUUUAGCAAUCUGUCGAAGAAUGACAAGGUGAAAGGAUUAUAUUGAAGCUACAAAGCAGGGACAGGAAACUAACAAAGACCGGUUAUGCAUUGAUGUCCUUGAGAGAGAAAUGAGAAGGAACUCCAUGUCUGGGAACUUGGCAAUGUCAGCAGAAGUGAUGGAUGAUGAUUUCCAAAGGAAGCUGGACUAUAUGGAAAGUAUAGGUGAUAUUUCUUUACUGGUAUUAGUUCAUCACCUUCUCAGAGUUUGUGCAUAGCACACUUCUUUCUACUGUUUUUUUGUCCCUUCAUCUGGAAAAUAAAGGUGAUAUUCCUUUGCUGGUAUUAGUAAAUCAUCUUCUCAGAGUUUGUGUGUCCCUUCAUCUUAGGAUCUCAAACACACAUGGGCUCAUUGCUUGGAGCACACUGUUGGCCAGUCGUGUGAUUUGAUCCCUUUUUUGGAAUAGACAACUCUGAAUCCAUCUAAUCUAGGCUUGGCGGUUUGCACUGAACUGGUUUUUGAUGAAUAAUUGCACAAGACUUUGUCAUCAAAACUUUUAUUUUUUGGUUUUUUUGCCCCAAAAGUAAUGAGGUACAAAAAAAUCUAUGCCUAUCCUGGAUGAGUGCCAUAACAGCUUCUUAAUAUUUCGCAGUGACUUGUGUACGGUUGUUUCCUUCUGAAGCUAGAGUAGCUAUGGAAAUAGCAGGUGCAGAUACAACCACUGGCCUUUCAGCAUUUGGUCGGAAAGGACUUAGUGGGAACUUAAAGGAGGUUGAUUUGAAUGAAACGCCCUCUAUGCAAGCCAAAAGAUGCCAAUUGAGACUGCUCACUCUGCUUAAAACAGGUAUUUAUAUACUUUAUUAACUUUUGCACCUUUCUAUUUACUGAUUAUCUUUAUAAUUAAAUAAUACAUGUAUCCAGGUUUCUCCUUCCAUUUCAUUAGAAGUAAAAUUGGAAUCUCUUUAUAGUGCUCUGUUAGGUGUAAUCAGAUGUAUCAAAAGAGAAAGGGUAAUUGUUAGUACAUUGACAUCUCAACAAAAUGGUAGAACCUUUCUUUAUACCACUAAAGACAUUUGUUGCAGGUAUGCCUACAUAAUCGGUGUCCUUUAAAACUUUCAAGGAGUUAGCAAUGCCUAACCCUUGAAACACUAAAUCUCACGGGAUCAACUUUUUACCUCUAGACCGAAGGUGUGCACCCAGACCCAAUUAGGACUUAGAACACAUAUCGAAUCUGAGCGAAACUAAAUGCUUGUAAAUCCAAAUCUCCAAAAUAUCAAAAGGUCGUCUACUUUCUCUUUUCAUGAAUUUCACAAAAUUUUGAAAAAUUUAUUCUCAAUCAUAAACUAUGCGCAGCUAAUUAAUCAGUAUAUCAGUAUACAACAAUACUUCCUCGUAAGCAAAUAAAUCUUACAAUCCUUCUUACAUGAUUUAAAAAAAAAAAAUACUUCUAUAAGUCUUCUAAAUACAAACAUAAACUGAACUCAACUGCUAAAACUAUGCCAAAAUACAAGCUUCAAUCAGUAAUACACGCGACUAAUUAUUAAAAACAUCUAGCUACAAACCUUAUGAAAGCUCAAUCCUUCCGAAGCAUUCUUAGAAUUAAUAAUUUCUACUAUCUGUGAAAAAUAAUUGACAAGGGGUCAGCUGUUAACUCAAUCCGUAGAAACAUUCAUAACGAACAAAAAGAAUUCUUUGUGCAAUAUUUUCAGAAAAUUCAUUUAACCUUUCAAAUGAAACAGAGUAAUUUUUCAAACACAGUCAGGAUUUAUAUAAAACAUAAACGUUUCAGACAAGCUUUUUGGAACGUAAAUUUUACUUCUUUGAACAGAAAGUUAUACAUUAGUUUGAUUUUAAAGGGAGGUUAUUGGCAAGUUAAAAUUGGCAGUUGUGGUAAAAGGGUAAUAGCAGUUAUAAAAUCUCUUUUAAAACAAAUUCAAAUCAGGUUUUAAAUUUUAGGAGUACUUAAUUCAAUAAAAUAUAGAAUAAAUAAAGCUUUCAAUGAAACAAAACUAAGUAAAUUCAUUUAAAGCAAAACAGGAUGCGAGCAUUACCUAAGGGUUCUUGACCAUACUAUGUUUACCCGCAGUCAGAUAUCUGGGACCUUGUUAUUUGGAGACAAGACUUGAUUGUGCCAUGUUUUCCACAGCCAGAUAUCUUUUACUUCAUUAUUUCCUAGACAUCUGUGGAUAACAGAACCCUAAGCCUAUUGAGAAUAAAUUCCGUAAUCCAAGACUCUUCAGUCCUUUCAUUUGUGGCUAAUUAGUUAUAAAAUUUGUGAAUUUCAUGCCCCACGCCCCUUGCAAAAUGUAUUUUAUAUCCUUAAGAUGCCGGUGGAUGAACUGAAAUAAUAAAAAAUGGAAAACAGACUUAAUGUUGAUAGCAUUUCUUAAGAAAAACUUGGGAUGUUUAUAAUUUUCUUAGAGCAUUUGCUGAACUUUCUGUGAUCGCAGUCGAGACGGGUCAACGCUACUUCCCUAAUUGCUCAGAAGUGGUUGAGAAGUUUAUGUUUUUCAACCCCGCUAAUUGCUCAGAAUUGGUUGAUGAGUUUUUGGAUUGUGAUUCGGCCGAUGCUUCCCUCCUAGAAAAGGGUACUCCGGAAGUGCAGAAACUCCAAAGGGCAUGCUUCAUGAAACUUAAAGUAGAGAUGCCGGAGGCAGUCUGCAAGGACAUGGCUUAUCACCAUCGCUGAGGGCUGCCAUCAUCCUGGUCGGCAUUUUACAAGUACAUGGCUGAGAGCAAUCGUUCAGGUAUGCCGGCAUCCUCGGCAUUGAGCAAUUAAGCAUCACCUUUCCCUAAAAGAUGUGUUUGACACCUGGGACACUAAAAGAGUUUAGUGAGCUCGAUUGGUACUUGUGGAGAUACCCAGAGCCUAUGUUACGGCUAUGUAUUGUCAAGUAGCAGAGAAAUUUUAAUGAAUGAUGGAUGAUUUUCUUGUGACUCUUUUGGUAACAAUCAUGUAACGAUUUCAGUAAUGUUAACAUUAUGGCAAUUUUCUUUUUCUUCAAGUAAUCUGGCAUUUAUCAAUUAGGUUGUAGAAUUUAUUAUAUUGUCUGGAGUCACACGAGGGAAAACCUUAGGUGUAACUGUGGUACCGUGUCAUAGUUGCAUUCAGUCGUUCGAUGUCAGUGGACUCUAUCAAUCCAAAUGCAUUCAAUGGCUGGAUGCAAUUGUGGCCGGUGCCACAGUUGCACCGUAGCCUGAUUCGUCACACGAACGCAUAACAUUGAUGGAAUGGAUCACGUUAUCAUGAAUGUAUAAUUAACAUCAGUUGCUGAACAAACUUUGCCUUUCAAUUUUGUAGACAUUACAAUCUCAAAUUUUCUAUUAUCAUUAAUGAGAUUUUAGGUAAUCUUUUUUUAAAAAAAAAACUAGAGAUUUCUUUUAUUUUUCCUUAAAAAAAUAAAGAAAAUUUUAGAAAGUAGUGAGAGAUGGAGAAUUAAAGCAAUUUUAUUCACAAAUGUAAUGUGCUUGGAGUAGCAAUACAAACUAACAAAUUAUAAUUUAUGAGAUUAGUUUACAAAAUCUUAUAUAUAAAAUUAUAUCCUCUAAAUAAAAAUAUUCUCACCUCUUUUGACUUAUCAUUUAUGAUGCGUUUGAGAUUGAGGUGCUGUAAUUUUUAAACUACAGUUGCUGUGAAAAAAAUGUUAUAAUUAUGAAACAAAAGUUAGUAAUAUUUAAUAAAUAUAAAUUUAAAUAGUAAUUUUGACAAAAUUAUUAAAGAUAAAAUAAAUUUUCUAUGAAAAAUCAUAUCAGCAUAGUUUUUAAGUUACAACAGUUAGUGUUUACCAAACACUUUAGUACUGUAAUUUAAAGUUGCCCAACCUCAAUUCCAAACACACCCUUAGAUGCCCUUUCUAGAAUCUCUCCAGCAAUAAACACAUUUUUAUAAAAUAAAACAAAUAUAUAUAUAUAUAUAUAUAUAAUUGUCAAGAGGAAUCUUACUAAAAUGGUCUCUCAUAAAUUUUUCUCUAAUUUGAGAGAUAGUGGGGAGUGGGGUUAAAGUGCAUCAACAUAGAAUUAAAUAAAAAUAAAUUUUAUUUUUUUAACUAUUUUAAUUAAAAGUAGCAGUUAUUCUUUUUAUUAUUGUUAUUCCAAUUAUCUCAAAAUCAAGUAACUGGGGAUCAAAUUAAGUAGUUCAUUAAAUUUUUUAAAUGACGUAUGGGAUGGUGUAUGGAGUUUUUAUACAUCUAUUUAAAUAGUAAAAUAUUUAAUUUUGCUUGUCGUAAAAUUUUAAUUUACGUGAGUUAAAAAAGAAAAAAAGAAAAAAGAAAUUGACUUAACAAUUAUAGAAAGACUAAAUAGAAAAUUGUAGUUGCGUGGGAAAACUCUGGGCAAAAGGGCUCCUGAUUUCCUUUCCCUGGCUUCGUGCGUUUCCUUUUGCCCUUUCGAGCACGAUUGCACGAAUUCGAAUCCAAUUCUUGAUAAUAAAGAUAUAAUAAGGCAAUCCCUAAGUUACGUUUAACGUAACUUACAGUCUGGCUAACCUGAACCGUUAGAUAUCUUUCAUUUCAAUCCAACGGAUGUUGUUAAAUUUAUCAAAAAUAGUAACAAAUGGCAAACCGGCUAAAUUGGUUAAUUCUAAACAAAAAAAUGUUCAAAAUGAAGGAGAAUGAUCGAGAUAAAUAAAAUCGAACUUUGACUGAAAACGAAGCAAUAUCAGUGUAAAGCUUUUGUUCCGAUUUUGAAUCGAGAUUGACAUAUAUCCAUUGAUGAUUGAUUGCUUUGUUGCCGUUGAAUUACAGAACGGCCACGAAAGCCAAAGAAGACGAGAAGAGUGGGAGGGGGAUGCAAUUGCAGGGGUACAAAGUAGAAGGAUUGUCGAUAGCAAUUUGGGGAAACGUCUCAAAUUUCUUCAACCAUUUCCCCAGGUACCGAAUCAAGCUCAUACCAUUCAAGUUACUUAUUGCGGAGGAAAGCAUCACCUCAUCAAUGUUUGAAGAUGCUCACAAAUAACGCAGACAAAGUUCAGAAACUGAAAAUCCAUCAUGUGCAACCAUCAACAGUAUUGAAGCCUCCGUCGCCAAACACAAUUUCUUCCUAGACGGAUUUUCAUCGCUUGCCUUCUCAAUAGCUAACAAGGCUUGGCUCUCCCAUUCCAUCCUCACACUACCCACGCUACCAUAAAGCAUCUUUAAGUGGACAAAGAAAGUACUUCAAAAUGCAAAGUAACUUAGACGAUCCAAGAUCUGGAGAAUAUUUAAACACAAAGACAAAGCCAAUCUGACCUCUUUUUCUGUUGCAAGUCUCAUAACCAAAUUCGAUUAGGAAGGAUGAUCAACUAGCCCAUGAACUAUCAAAGUCUCCACCAAUUCCCAAAUCCUCAAACUGAUGCAUGCUUCCAAUGCCAAAGAUGCCACAUCUCGACCCAUUAAAAAGCCAACCUUUUCAAUCAAACCCCGAGUAUAUCCACUAUCAAAUCUAUUAAUCCUAGUAGAAAUUCCAACUUUCACACUAAUUUUCUCGAGAUAUGAGUUCAAAAUCCCAAUAAAUGGAGGAUUGUGUUGGACGAGAAGAAACUCCUGUUGCUUAAAGUUCAUGGUGUGUUUCUAAUGGUUAAAACGGCGUCGUUACCUUUGUCACAACUGGUUAUAGAAGCUUUUAGUAACCGGCUGGUAACCGCUUAAAACGAUUUUAUUUUAUUGUUGUCAUGUACACCUGGCAUUUGCUUAUUGGUUAAGUAAUCAUAUCACAGGCUGUAACUUACGAUAAAUGUAACUUAGAGAGGUCCAAUAAUACUAAUAAUUAACAUUAAAAUAUUAAAAAAUAAGGAAAAAAAAUCCAAAUUUUUACUGGUAUAUAACGCAGAGCCAAAGCGAUGGCGAAACAUCAAAUUGUUUUUGUUUCAACCUACGCGCAACUUCCGGUGACAUAAUUUCUGUCUGUUUCAGGUACAUACCCAAAACUAAACUUUGCAUGUAUUAUUAUUGUAUUUUUGUUAUUCAUUCACAUAUCCUUCUUUUCUUUUCUUUUUUUCUUUUGCUGUAAGUUUUUAUGAGACACUCUCUUUCAGUUCUGUUUCUGGUUUUGUUUCAGUUUAACAUUAUUGGUUCCGUUCGGUUCUGUUCUGCUCUGCUCUCUGUUGUAUGUAUAUAUGUAUAUAUUUUUGGCCUCGAAUUGCUUUGAUCACCGGUUUUGUUAUUCAUUUAUCCUGAAUUUUAGAUACCCGUAAAGCUUGUUUGGCCAUGUGUUCACUUGAUUGUUACAUUCAGCUGUCAUUUUCAUGGUGGGUUUGUAAGAUAGUCUCUGACUAACAUAUGGCAUUGAUUAUGAAUGACGGUUUUGUGAGAUACAUCACACCGCCGUUAACUCUUUUUAAUGUGUACUUAUGUACUUACUUCAUUCAAAAGAUUAGUGUUUUUCUCUUUUUUUAAAAAAAAUGAAAUGCCCCUUUUCGCAUUUUAUAGGUGAAAGGAAGAAACAUAAUAUCGCAGAACUAGAAUAAAGGAGCCUAUUCCGGUACCUAUUGUCCAAGGAAGCUUCUGUAUAUUCUGUAGGAACUACCGAACUACCAUGGAAGUCAAAUCUUACCAGAGCCAGGCGGAGUCGUUGCUGAAGGAAUAUAUAUUAGCAGAUCCAUUUGUCCCGUACACUUCAAUUGCUGGUAGCAUUUUUGCAUGCAAGACGGUAUGUUUUUCAUCGUUACUGCAUGGUGUUAUUUACUAGAAAAUAUUUUGAAUGCGUAGUUUUUAUGUAAUUAGUUAUAAAUUUUUAUAUACCUUUUUUUUUUCAUAAGAAUGUGCUCCUUUUCAGGUCUAUGAUCUUGCCCAAUUGAUUAGUGUGCUGUUCACUUUAAAUCUGAUUCCAGUUUCUCCAGCAUACAGCGGGUUGAGUGGAGUAACAGGUGAUUGAAUAUUUUCAUUUAGUUCAAUUGUCAUUUCUUUUUCAAUCGGUAAAGUUUAAUCAUUUUUCUUAAAUUGACAACUUAUGCAGGGCCAUAUCAACCGUCCAUGCCAUUUUUGUUUCAGCUAUGUCUUUGUACUUUGUGUUUUGGUCGAAUAUAAGAGUUUGUACAUAGCACACUUGUUGUUUGUUUGUCCCUUCAUAGACAUUUCGAUAAACUGUUAUUUUUGUUUGUUGGAAUUGAAUAUUUUCCACAACUAGAACUCCGAAGCAUCUGGAAUGAUCCAUUUUAUCAUUCUCAAUACCUAUAAAAGAAGGACAUAGAAAACAGUUUCCAAAGCAAGUUGCCUGUGUUUUGAAUUUGUCUUUGGAAGCCACUAAUUGCUUGGAGCACACUGUUAGCUAGUCGUGGUUCCAUCCACUUUUUUGGAUAGACAAUUGUGCAUCCAUAUGAUCUGGACUAAACUAGUUUUUAAUAAAUAAUUGCCCAAGGAUUUAGUCUCAGUGUUACAGCCCAGUCUUUGUUGUCAAUACUCUUUCCCCUGUCGUGGAUGAGCGCCAUAACAGCUUCUUAAUGUGCAGUGGCUUUUGCACGGUUGUUUUUUUUCCUUCUGAAGCUGGAGUAGCUAUGGAUAUAGCAGAUGCAGAUGCCAUCAAUUUUUAUACUGGCCUUUCAGCAUCAAAAUCAAAAGGAUCAAGUGGGAACUUAAAGGAGGUUGAUUUCAAUGAAACACCCUCUAAGCAAGCCAAGAGACUCCAAUUAAGCCUGCAAGCUCUGCUUAAAACAGGUAUUUAUAUACCUUAUUAGUUUUUGUACCUUUACAAUUAGCGAUUUUUAUAUCAAACGAGAGAGGUUAAUCUUAGUACAUUGAUAUCUCAACAAAAUUUUAGAACCUUUGGAGCACUAGAGACAUUUUCUUAGAGCAUUUACUGAAGUUUCUAUGAUUGCAGUGGAGACAGGUCGACGCUACUUCCCUCAUUGCUCAGAAGUGGUUGAUAAGUUUUAGGAUUGUGAUUGGUCCGACGCUUCCCUCCUAGAAAAUGGUACUCCUGAAGAGCAGAAAUUCAAAAGGGCACGCUACAUGGUUGAGAAAAAUCGCUCAGAUUUGUCGUCAUCCUCGUCGUCGUCAUCUUCUCCAAAGGAAGGAGUAAAGUGUAAGGGUAGGAAAAUGUGUUGCUUAGCUGCCUGUCUUUUGUUAUUCAUAUCUAGGAAACUAAAAGAGUUUUAGUGAGUUUGAUUGUUACUUGUAGAGAGAUACUCUUCGAGCCUAUGUUAUGGCUAUGUUGUAUAAUAGCAGAGGAACUCCAAGCUUGCGUUGUUGUAUUUUCCC
Molecule: long non-coding RNA, 66612 nt
Filed under: Citrus x clementina
Lineage: Eukaryota; Viridiplantae; Streptophyta; Magnoliopsida; Sapindales; Rutaceae
Description: Citrus clementina (C. clementina) long non-coding RNA (CCLE_LNC003518)
Source: RNAcentral